UUUUUUUUUUUUUGCUUUUUGGUUUAACCGAGGUUGGAAAACCGAUCCCCGAACUAAUUUUAGUUCUUUAGGAUUGAUGACCGGAUUGGGGAUCAGAUUUUUUUUGUUUUGGUCUAUCCGGGUUAGGUUCAGGUACUUCCAAUUCGGCAAAUCGGUUUUUCGUUUAAUUUGUCCGCCUCCCUCUUAGGGAUACACAAUGCAGAAAAGGUAAUAAUUAUUGUAGAAAUUAAGAAAUAAGUUUCUAUUACAAAUUCUACAUCAACAGAUGCUGUCGCAAAUAAAAAUAUUUCAAUCUGAUGGGCGGGCGGAAAUGGAGGGGGUAGGCACCCCAGCCGUGAUGCGCGAAUGAGGACCACUGCAUUUCUUUUUGCAGUCAUCCAUUGUCAGAUAGCAGUCCUCCGUCAGGUAACAACAGUUGCAGUAGCCAUCUUUGCAAGGUUUGUACGCACAUAAUCCGUGCGGCAGGCUUAUCCUCACGUUGUCCAUGUCUUCCGUGCUUCCACCUAUAUGAAAUUAUAAUAAGCACACUCAUAAUUCGUAGGUAUAAACAAGAAAAGUAGACAAGAUCGCUCCGCUAGAGAUUCAAGAUUGGACUCUUAGUCUUAUGUACCACCAACAAACACAGGGUUAUCAAUAAUCUGGCCACAUAUCUCCCACUUACAUUGUGAAUGGAUAGCAAGGCAUACGAGAAGAAGCAGGAGGACUGGGCCGUGGACGGGCUUCAUGUACGUGGCCAUGUAUGCAAUACAGAUGGUCGAUGGUAGAAUAUAUAUCUUCAGAUCAAGAAUCUAAUACAUGCAUAUGGUUCAUAUAUAUAGAUGGAGACGAGAAGGACUCUAGAUCUAACAUGUUUAUUGUUUGGAAUAUAUUGAUCAGAUGAAGAUAUGGUUAUCCAUAUCGUUCCAAAAAUAGUAGUAGUUUAUAUCUAUCUAUAUCUAUAUCUAUAUCAAUAUAAAAAGACCUAAAGGGGCAGAUCCAAUUAAUCUCGGCCAUCAAAUCAUGUUAAUCCAACGACCUAGACUACUUUAAUGUCGAGCGCUCAACAUGUUUAGCGUGCAGUUAAUUUAAUGAUAAAUAUAAUGCUAAUCACAUAAUAACACGCAAAUGAUAUCCUACUUAAUAUCCGCAUGCACUUAAUAUACUUCCAAAUUAACGUGAAUUGAACACAUUGACUAGUGAGAAUAAAACGCUAUAUGUUGGGAGGACUUGAGUAUUACGGACGCAGCUAAUAUUUUGUAUGUUAGGAAAAACUGGAAACACCAGAAAUGUGAAGUACGAACUAAUGAUAUAAAUUCCUAGGACAUUUUUUGUGCAUGUUAAAAAGAUUAAAAAAUGCCUCGUGAAUAGCUGUAAUCAAGCAUAAAAAAUUGUCAUUUUACACAAGCCACAAAAAUGUCCUUUUUCAUCAAAACUUGGUGCAAGCACAUAUAAUGUCCGGAUUUACACGCGGGAUUUUUUUCUCAAUUUUUUUUUAAAAAUUAAAAUGUAUAUUUAGAAAACGGGUGCAUAUACACCUAGGAGCCAAAGUAAAUUUCCGAUAUAUUCGUACCUUAUUGAGAGCGUUCGAGUAAAAAAACUAAGUCUUCCUAAUUAACGUAAUCUAUGCCACUAAAUGUCGCGAUUUUGAAAUAUCACGUGGUCAUAGAACAACGUGAUACUACUAGAGAAAAUAAGAACGAUUUUAUUAUUCCAUAUAAUAUAUUAAUGCAUGUAAAAAACGCACAUAUAUGGUUAAGUACACCAACAAAUUUCAUGAAGUAAAGAAGAUGUAUUGUCAUAUUUGUCAGCACACUUUGUUUAUCUCUACUCCUAAAGUCUCUACUCAUAAAUAAUGGUACAACAAUAUUAGGUAAUUCAGAAUUUAAAAAUCGCCCAUACAUGUGAGAUCACCUUCCUAAAAAGCAAACCAAAGAUCUUUCUUAAUAACCUUCCAAAAUAAAAUCAAAUAGUCCUCAAUGCCAUGUCGUUAAUCUGGUGCACUACGUCAGUUAUUUUCUAUGAUUAUCUGUACAAUUGAAUCACAAUCACAAUUUUCCUAAUACAAAAAAUAUCUACAUGUCUUUUCUUAUCUUGUCAAAUCUCCAAUGUUUAAAGGGAAUGUAUACGUAGUCAUUUGUCGAUCCGCCUCUCGAUAGUCCUCCCUAUCGCCUGCCAUGCCGACAUCAUCUGAAACAACGCCACCCUGCACUUAUCCUCGCCACCAGGGUUUGCGCUCUGAUGAUUGGUGGUUAUUUCCGCCCGCAUGAUCCGGUCACCGCCAAGCGCCUUCCUUGUGGAUCCGAUGGGUAAGGAGAGGGGUUGCCAAGGAGAGGAGCGAUGGGCCACCGUCACAGCUCUAAGGAUGGCAAUGGGUAGGGUAUGAGGCGGGUAGAGCAAUACCAUACCCAUACCCGCGUAGUCAAUGGAUACAAAAUUCUACCCAUACCGGUACCCAUGGGUAUGAAACUUUACCCGUACCCAUACCCGGCGGGUACCCAUACCCAUUGGAUACCCAACGGGUAGAUCAAAUAGUACACAAGUUAUUCACAAUUUCACAUUCAUCAAUAUCACAUUUGAUUAAAAAAAUAUCUUAACUCAGUAACAGAUAGAUGAGUACAUAACAAUUAUCUCAAUUCAAAUUGACGAUUGGUAACAACUUUAACAUAGGUUCAGAAUCUCACGACACACUUCACGGGUAAGGUACACGUGUCAGUGUAAACAGGUAGGGUAUGGGUAUAUCCAUAGAUACAAGGUUAUACAUGUGACAUACCCAUAACUCGGGUAGAGUAUGGGUAUUGCCCAUCGGUAUAAAAUUGUGGUCAUACCCUGCCCAUGCAGGUACGGUAUCCGCCGGUACCCAUACCCAUGAACCAAAAAUUACCAUCCUUACACAGCUCCGUGCGUUGCGGUCAUGGGCAGGAGGCCCGGGAGCAGGGCGAUGCUGGCAGGUAGACGUAGGAGGCACGCGAUGGAGGACAAGCCCGUCGCCGGAACCGCGUGGAGGACGCAACCCCCUGUCGGCGAGCCCAUCGUCGCCGGUAUCACGUGAAGGCCGCAAGCCCCACUGGUGCUACCGAUUUGCAGCGUAUCCAAUCGCGCCACGUCUCGUCAAUGAGCAUGUGGUCGCCCACCCCGCUCUACAUCUGAUUCGCUUGCCCCACCUCUGUGGUAUUCUUCCUCACUUCCUGACAUCUUCACAAGGUACAGUACGUGUAACCCCACCACAAUCGCAUAAUGAAAUUCUGAAGCAAUUAGUCCAUAGCUUGAUUACCUGCACUUCAUCUAAUUGUCUUACUUACGCGAAUGUUGCCCCUCGCCCCUCGNNNNNNNNNNNNNNNNNNNNNNNNNNNNNNNNNNNNNNNNNNNNNNNNNNNNNNNNNNNNNNNNNNNNNNNNNNNNNNNNNNNNNNNNNNNNNNNNNNNNNNNNNNNNNNNNNNNNNNNNNNNNNNNNNNNNNNNNNNNNNNNNNNNNNNNNNNNNNNNNNNNNNNNNNNNNNNNNNNNNNNNNNNNNNNNNNNNNNNNNNNNNNNNNNNNNNNNNNNNNNNNNNNNNNNNNNNNNNNNNNNNNNNNNNNNNNNNNNNNNNNNNNNNNNNNNNNNNNNNNNNNNNNNNNNNNNNNNNNNNNNNNNNNNNNNNNNNNNNNNNNNNNNNNAGCGCCGCCGGGCGAAACCUGGCUGGCUGGGCGGCGGCGGGGCUUCUCCCCAUCCUCUCCGUCUUGGCUGGCGCGGGACAGCGAGAUCCAGUGGAACGCCGGGCGAACGUGGGGUCCGGUGGCGCGGCGGGCGGGUCUCCCAUCGGCGUCAUGUGCGGCGCGGCGGUGGCGACCUGCGUGUCGUGAGGUGGUGGCUGCGUUGGCCUGACCGGUGGUCGCGGGUGCCGCCGGAUCCAGAUCGGAUCCAUCUGGAUCCUUUCUUCGGACUCCGUCGGCCGCCGCGGGGUGGUGAUGAUCGUCGCUGGCCACGUCGGAUCGUUGGAUUCGGCGUCUGGAGAUCUACAAGGAGUUCUUCUCGAUCCUCCUUUCUGGUGGGUUGAGCCCCAUGGCUCUUUCAUCUUCGCGGGUUUCGGAUCGUGGCUUGCCGGAUCCGGAGUACACGGAGGUUUGGUGGCAUAGGAUGGGGACCGGAGGAAACUUUGGCCGGCGUGUUCGGCCCGGCAUCGGCGACGUCACUUGACGCCGUUACCCUUCCUAGAGGCGAAGCAGAGGUCCCCCCUAUCCACCCCCGAACCCCUCCCGGACGAAAGUCCAAAAUUCAGUCUGGAUUGGGCGGCGGCGGCGUCCUGCGCGUCGUAUCCUCCAUGGAGGCGCCGUCUUGGAAGGAACUGCUGUUCGGGGGAGAGAUGUUGUGGAUGGUGGGCUCCGAGUAGCUCCAGCAGUGGCGAUGGUGUGGAGGUUGCCAGGUGGUGCGGCGUUGUAUCUACUGCGUCAUUGACGACGAGUGGUGGCGGCAUGGUGCAGCUGCAUAUCGACGACGGAUGCGGCUAGAUGGACGAGCGCAGGGUGGUCGAGCUGUCUGGCGCCAUGGUGGCGUCCACGGCAGGCCUGGCAAGGUCUGUGCGUCAGUACCUGCUCUGGAGAUGGAUCGGUGGAAGAAGGCGGCGGCAGCCUCGGUGAGUGCGCCGGACCGGCGUGUGACCCAGUCCCGGUAUGUGGCUAGGAUGGGGCAUCCGGCAUUAGAUGUUAGGAUUUGGUGCGAUAUCUGUUUCGUAUUAGGCUCGGACAUUCGCCACCACUGCAUCAAGGGGAUAGGAGUAGCGACAGAUGUUGCCUAGAUGGUGGCUUCAGGCUUACUGAUGUACUACUUUGUAAGGUGUUUUGUGCUUAAUAAUUAAUAAAGUGGCCGUAUGCAUCGUCCAGAUGCAGUGGCUGGGGUGCAUCCUCCUUUUCUAAAAAAAACUAAUUGUCAUCUACUCCCUAUCUAAAAUACAAGUUUUUUCUAAAGAUUGUAAUAUGGACUAUAUACAGAGCAAAAUGAAUAAAUCUACACUUCAAAAGACAUCUAUAUUCAUUCGUAUGUUGUUCAUAUUCAAAUCUCUAAAAAGACUUAUAUUUCGGAAUGGAGGGAGUAAUACUGAACAGUUUUUUUUUGCAGGGGGCUUAACAGUUUUAUUGUGCAACCCAUAUAUGGAAAACCACAUUUUAUAGUUUGCAAAUGUUAACGUCCACACGUGUGGCACGAAGCAACAUGGCCCAAACGCCUCCGGUACCAUUCACUUUGCCACAUCAAAACAGAUGACAUCAGCGGGAAUCUUUUUGGUUUUUCGACUUAAAAAUAUUUUAUCUCCUAAUUAAAAAUCAAUUUUCACCAUUAAAUCCGUCUCAACGAGAUCUUCAAAACUAGAUCCCAUGUUGCUAUGUUUUGACAAAAAAAAAAUUGGCCAAAAGUUGCCAUGAUGUUUACACUGUAGUUGUUAUAGUGUUACACUAAAGUUGCCAUGUCAUAAUUUUAGUUUAUAGAGCAUGGCAAUUUUAGUAUUUUGACCAUGGCAAUUCCAGUACUUUGACCAUGAAAAUUAUUUUUUGUAUGAACCAUGGCAAAUUUAAGUGCAUGUAUUAUGAAAAUUUUAGUUUAUGGUUCAUGGCAAGUCUAGUUUCUUAAUUCUUCAUUUUAUAAUAUGUCAAAAUUACUUUUAAAUGUAGAAGAAAAUAGCUGGAACAUAUCAUGGCAACUUCAGUGUAAACACCAUGACAAUUCAUGUGUAAUAGACAUGGCAACUUUUAAAGUCGUCGAAAACAUGUUGAUAUGAGAUCUAGUUUCGAAGAUCUCGUCACCAUGGAUUUAAUGAUGAAAACGGACCUUCAAUCCAAUUUUUCAUUAAAGAGAUAAAACAGUUUAAAAACUGGAAAUCCGAAGAAAAAAAUCCCACAUGCAUGCAUACGGUGACGUGUCGUAGUCUGUGUGUUAUAGGAUGUGUGGGCGGUUGUCGCUUCCACCACACAUGUGGGCAUUAUCAGCGUUCUUUAUAGUUUUCUCAGGGGGGGUGUACCGUGUAUAGGGGGCAUAUCUCUGUUCCUUUGUAUGCUUGUUCAACAAUAUAGGAAAAGCUUGUAGUAUGAAAAUCACGAUAGUGGGGAUACGUUGCUGAAACUGAUGGGUGCUUGGCCUCACAUGUAAAUGAUUUGGUUUCUCAUUAAGUGUUCUCUUUCCCACUAAAUGUCACAUCUGCCAUCUCAAAAAGAAAUCCACAUCUACAUGACUUCAUGUUCUUAGAGCAUCUCCAAGGGCGCGCGAUAUUAGCGCCGCGCUGAAAAAAUAGCAGUUUUUGCACGCGCAGCCGUUCCGGGUGCUCCAACGGAGGCGCAAAAAACACGCGUGUGCGGCAUAAGUGGUUUAGCGCGCGGAGCAAAACGGCAUGUCACGCGGCUUAUUUCGUGUGCCCGCUCCCACGCGCUGCACACUCGAGCGCCCGCGCCGCACUGCCGCCACCCUCUCCGGCCGCGCCGCCUUCGCCCCGCCCCGCGCCGCCGCCGGCGAAUUCGUUUGAUGGACAGCCGCGCCGACAUCCCCCUCACCCCUUCCUACACCCUCGACCCCUCCGCCAACGCUGCCGUCGGGGCAAACCCUAGCGCGGGGAGCUUUGGCUUCGCCUCCGCCGGAGCUCAUCCAAGCACCGGUCUCGCGCGCGGCCUUUUCAUGGCGCCACGGACGACCUGGGCGGGUGGCGUCGCACUGGCGCUCGCCGUGAAGCCACUUGCCCCCCUCUCGAAGCUGCCAAAUGCGGCGGUGGCGAAAGCCGGAAAGGUAUCCGGGAAGAAGCACAAGGCGGCGGACGGCUCCUCUAGGCGCCAGAAGAAGAAUCUUGCAGGGCGCGCGACGGAUGCGGCGGCGACCAAAGCGCCAGCGAGCUCACUUGUUGCGCCCGCAGCCGAUGCGCACAAGGUGUUCGAUGAAAUGCCCACAAGGUAUGAUUUCGCCCACUUUUUUUCGUUGUUGUUUUUUACAUGAAUUGAUACAUAUGGAUAGCUUAUUUGUUUUAUUGUAUAUACUUUGUAGUUUCAAUGAUGAGACAUAUAUGUCAACUAUGGGUGUUGGCUCCAACAACUGUCAUUUGGUCUCAAACCAAUGAUGUGCAUUUAGAUGAUCAUGAGUUUGAGGUGGACGAGGAUGGUGAGGGUAUCGUCGAUGCACCGAAAGGAAGAGCGGGCAACUACACCAUGGAUGAAGACAUCUUGCUAUGCAAUACAUGGUUGCAAGUGUCUAGGGAUGCCACCGUUGGAGGGGAUCAAAGUAGAGAUAUUGGAUCCGGAUGAAGGAGCACUUUGAUUUACACAAUAAAAGUGGAAUUGACAACAGGGAAAGAUCUCUUCGCUCCCAGUGAUCGACAAUCAACAAAGAUUGUCAAAGGUAGGCGGCUGCACUUAAGGCGGUUGGCACGAUAAACCCAAGUGGCACUAAUGAUAGAGAUAGGGUGAGUGCCAUUUCAAGUGCUAACUUGUUCUUCCAUGUUCAUGCUUCUUCUUUGGUGUUUCAGGUGCUAACUUGUUCUUUUGUUUGUUACUCACUAUUGCACAAAACUUAUUUCAAGGAGAGGAGAAGAAGACCAAGAAAUGGAAGAUCAAAAAAGGAAGAGCAUUUACCUCGCCCCGUUGCUAUGAUGUGUUGAAGGAUGAUGAGAAAUGGAAGCCCCAUGAAGGUGUCGAUGAGGAGAGCAACAAACGCAAGCAAACAAUUGAUUUGGAUGAUGAUGAGCAGGAGGCAUCAAGUGAAGACGGCAAGAGAAUCCCUACACCAAACUCGGUUGCCUACUCCAAUCCAAAAAGACCAAAUGGAGGCAAGAAAGACGGAAAAGAAAAGAAGAAGAGGAAAGGAGAUGAUGAGUUAAGAAGGCUAUGGAAGCUAUUGUGAACGCAAGAAAGGAAGCCAACGAGGUGAGGAAUGAUAACCCACAAGUAUAGGGGAUCGCAACAGUUUUCGAGGUAGAGUAUUCAACCCAAAUUUAUUUAUUUGACACAAGGGGAGCCAAAGAAUAUUUGCAAGUAUUAGCAGAUGAGUUGUAAAUUCAACCACACCUGGAGAUUAAUUAUCUACAGCAGAGUGAUCAGUAGCAAAGUAGUAUGAUAGUUUUGAUAGUAGUAGCAACAGCAAUAAUAACGGUAACAGUAGUAGAAGUGAUUUUGUAGCAAGUGUAACAGUAACAACAGCAGUAGUAACUUAGCAGGAACAAUAGGAGAGAAAUUUGUAGCCACUGGAUCGGUGAAUUCGUUGGAUGAUAUUCAUCAUAUAACAGUCACAACCUAGGGCGAUACGGCUCUAGCUCCAGUUCAUAAAUAUAAUGUAGGCAUGUAUUCCGUAAAUAGUCAUACGUGCUUAUAGAAAGAACUUGCAUGACAUCUUUUGUCCUACCCUCCCGUGGCAGCGGGGUCCUAUUGGAAACUAAGGGAUAUUAAGGCCUCCUUUUAAUAGAGAACCGGAACAAAGCAUUAACACAUAGUGAAUACAUGAACUCCUCAAACUACGGUCAUCACCGGGAAGUGUCCCUACUUCUGUCACUCCGGGUUUGUCGGAUCAUAACACGUAGUAGGUGACUAUAACUUGCAAGAUCAGAUUUAGAACAUAGAUAUAAUGGUGAUAACAUGAAUGGUUCAGAUCUGAAAUCAUGGCACCCGGCCCAAAGUGACAAGCAUUAAGCAUGGAAAAGUCAUAGCAACAUCAAUCUCAGAACAUAAUGGAUACUAGGGAUCAAGCCAUAACAAAACUAACUCGAUUACAUGAUGAAUCUCAUCCAACUCCUCACCGACCAGCGAGCCUAUGAAGGAAUUACUCACUCCCGGUGGGGAGCAUCAUGGAAUUGGCGAUGGAGAAGGGUUGGUGAUGACGAAGAUUGAAGAUCCCCCUCUCUGGAGCCCCAAACGGACUCCAGAUCUGGCCUCCCGAUGAAGAACAGGAGGUGGCGGCGGCUCCAUCUCGUGAAAUGUGAUAAUUCUUUCUCCUUGAUUUUUUCUCCGAAUAUGUGAAUUUAUAGUAUCAGGGUUGAAGUCUGUGGGGCCACCAGGUGGGGACAACCCACCUGGGCACGCCUGGAGGGGGGCGUACCCUGGUGGGUUGUGCCCACCUAGGUGCCCCCCUCCGGUGGUUCUUGUCUCCAAUAUUUUUCAUAUAUUAUAUAAAAAAUCUCGCAAAGUUUCGUUCCAAUCCGAGAACUUUUAUUUCUACACAAAAACAACACCAUGGUAGUUCUGCUGAAAACAUCGUCAGUCCGGGUUAGUUUCAUUCAAAUCAUGCAAAUUAGAGUCCAAAACAAGAGGAAAAGUGUUAGGAAAAGUUGAUACGAUGGAGAUGUAUCAACUCCCCCAAGCUUAAAUCUUUGCUUGUCCUCAAGCAAUUCAGUUGAUAAACUGAAAGUGAGAAAGAAAACUUUUAUGAACUCUUUUGCUCUUGUUUACAUAAAUAAGCUUAAGUAGCACCCAGGUAUUGAGCCAAGAUUAUAACUAACCAUGUCGACAAUAACUCUUAGAAAUUAUAUUAACUCAUAUCAAUGACAUAAUCAACUAGCGAGCAAUAAUAAGAUAUCUCAAACAACAACACUUUUUCAAAACAACCAUGAUAUAAUAUGACAAUAGUGGUAUCUCGCUAGCCCUUUCUCAGACCGCAAAACAUAAAUGCAGAGCACCUCCAAAGUUCAAGCAGCGACUAAACAUUGUAAUUCAUGGUAGAAAAUAUCCAUUCAUGAUGCACCAAACAUUAGCUACACACGAUGGAUGAGGAUGACAAUGGUGCUCUCUAGUUCUGGCGCUUAUUUGAGAAGGUGAUGACACAACAUAAAAGUAAAUAUAUAGUCCCUUCGUAGAGGGAAGCAGUGAUUUGCAGAGGUGCCAGAGCUCAAGUUUUUAAAACAGAGGUAAAUAAAAUUUUGAGAAAUGCACCCUUGUUGUUUACUUCGUGACCAUUAGUUAUCGUUAUCUUCCAUGCUAAACACAUUAGUGGCGGUUCCCAAGCAAUAAAAGUAAAGGUUUACUCCCCCUCGACCAACAAUCACACUCCACGGCUGGUCCGAAACAACGGGUACCGUCCAUACCAACAAUAGUCCUGGGGAGUUUUGUUUAAUUAUUUGCAAUUUGAGUUCGGGACUGGGAAUCCCUAUUACCACCCCUCUCGUGCAAGGACGAGUGAAUCAACACUCAUCAUGAAAAUAAACCGCUUAGUAUGGAAGAUACUGACUACCUCCUGUCGCUCUAUGAACAAUCCAGACACACAAAAAGAAUAUUUAUUUGAAGUUUUUAGAGGUGGCACAUGCACAAUCAUUUUAACGCAAUGUUGACAUCCAAGAUAAAUCAUUAUCCACUCCUAGCUACUUAAGCAUGGCAUGAGAAACUAUAAUCUCGAAUUGUCAUUGCAAACAUGUUUGAUCAUAAUAGGCUGAAUCAUGGAUACUAGGUUAAACAUAUUUACAAAAACAGAACAAGUUGAGUUCAUACCCAUUUCUCCCUGCCACAGCCAAUUCAUCAAAUAUCGUCAUUAUUGCCUUUCACUUGCACGACCGAACGAUUUGAAAAUAAUAAUAGUGCAAGAGUGCCAUGGACUAAGCUGGAAUCUGCAAACAUUUUAUUCAAAAGGAGAAGACAAGGUAAUAUGGGCUCUUUGUUAGAUCAACAAUAAUGCAUAUGAGAUCCACUCAACAUUUUCAUCGUGGUCUUCUCCUCGGCAUGACUCAAAAAACGGAAAAGAAAUUCAGAGAAACAAAAUAUUUUUGGAGUUUUUGGUUUUUCUAGAAGAAAGCAAAUAAACAAGAAAAGAAAAAACGUGGAAAACUAUUUGCACGGGAAAGCUCCCAACAAGCAAAAUAAGAACAAGGAAAUCUUUUGGGUUUUCUUUUGAAUACUACAAUUAACUGAGCUAGAAAGAAAAACCGAAAAGAAGGAGUAACUAUUUUUGGAUUUUCUCAAAGUUUUUCAAACACACAAGAAGAAAGCAAGAAAAUAAAUCUCGCAUGGAUAGUACAAUGAAAAAGUAUGGACACCGACAACUGGAAUGAAAAUGUAUGAACAUGAAUGUAAUGUCGGUGGAAAUACGUACUCCCCCAAGCUUAGGCUUUUGGCCAAACUUGUUAAUCACCGUCAGUAGCCUGCAUAGUGGUCAGAGUGGUAGCUCACGGAGGCUCUAGGUGCUGACGCUUCAGCCCGCCGUGCAGCCACAACUGCUGUGUUAUGUGCUCGGGCCUCGCUCUCAAGAACAUAAUAUCUUCCCCUGCUGUGAACAUCAAAGAGAGCAGGUGCAGGCAAAAAGGUGUCCACAACGGACCUUUUAUUAAACAACAGGUUAUAAGUAAAAUCAUGGGGUUCACCACUAAGGAUCUUAUGACGUUCCAUAGUAUCAAAAUCCAAGUACUGUGUGGGUAGGAUAGGAUCAUAAGGCCAAGGUGAAACACCCAACUCUCUUGCUAAGCGUGUGGCAUGAAUUUCACCAUAAAAAUUGUUAGGGAACGCAGUAUUUCAAAAAAAAAUCCUACGAUCACGCAAGAUCUAUCUAGGUGAUGCAUAGCAACGAGAGGGGAGAGUGUGUCCACGCACCCUCGUAGACCGAAAGCGGAAGCGUUAAGUAACGCGGUUGAUGUAGUCGAACGUCUUCGCGGUCCAACCGAUCAAGUACCGAACGCACGGCACCUUCGUGAUCUGCACACGUUUAGCUCGAUGACGUCCCUCGAACUCUAGAUCCAGCUGAGGCCGAGGGAGGGUUCCGUCAGCACGACGGCGUUGUGACGGUGAUGAUGAAGUUACCAGCACAGGGCUUCGCCUAAGCACUACGACGAUAUGACCGAGGUAGAAAACUAUGGAGGGGGGCGCCGCACACGGCUAGGAACAAUUGAUGUGUGUUCUAGGGGUGCCCACCCCACGUAUAUAAAGGAGGGAGAGGGAGGGAGGCAUCCUAGGGCGCGCCCAAGUAGGAGGAAUCCUACUUGGGCCCCUAGUCCAAUUCGCCCCCCCUAACCAUAUUUGGACAAGGGGGAAAGGAAGGAGGGGGGAGGGGAAGGAACUAGGAGUCCUACUUCAUACUUUCCUUUUCCUCCUCUCCUUUCCCAUUCUCCCCACGUGGCUGGCCCUAUAGGGGGUGCACCAGCCCCUUGUGGGCUGGUGUGUUCCCUUACUUGGCCCAUAAAGCCCAUAUCUUUGCUGGGGGUUGCUCGGAACCCCUUCCGGUGACCCGGUAUCACCCGGAACACUUCCGGUGUCGAAUAUAGCCAUCCAAUAUAUGAAUUUUUACCUCUCGACCAUUUCGAGACUCCUCGUCAUGUCCGUGAUCAAAUCCGGGACUCCGAACAAACUUCGGUCAUCAAAUCACAUAACUCGUAAUACAAAUCGUCAUCGAACGUUAAGCGUGUGGACCCUACAGGUUCGAGAACUAUGUAGACAUGACCGAGACACAUCUCCGGUCAAUAACCAAUAGUGGAACCUGGAUACUCAUAUUGGCUCCUACAUAUUCUACGUAGAUCUUUAUCGGUCAAACCGCAUAACAACAUACGUUGUUCCCUUUGUCAUCGGUAUGUUACUUACCCGAGAUUCGAUCGUCGGUAUCCUCAUACCUAGUUCAAUCUCGUUACCGGCAAGUCUCUUUACUCAUUCCGUAAUGCAUCAUCCCGCAACUAACUCAUUAGUCACAUUACUUGCAAGGCUUAUAGUGAUGUGCAUUACCGAGAGGGCCCAGAGAUACCUCUUCGAUAAACGGAGUGACAAAUCCUAAUCUCGAUCUAUGCCAACCCAACAAACACCUUCGGAGACACCUGUAGAGCAUCUUUAUAAUCACCCAGUUACGUAGUGACGUUUGAUAGCACACAAGGUGUUCCUCCAGUAUUCGGGAGUUGCAUAAUCUCAUAGUCAGAGGAACAUGUAUAAGUCAUGAAGAAAGCAAUAGCAAUAAAACUUAACGAUCAUAAUGCUAAGCUAACGGAUGGGUCUUGUCCAUCACAUCAUUCUCCUAAUGAUGUGACCCCUUUCAUCAAAUGACAACACAUGUCUAUGGUUAAGAAACAUAACCAUCUUUGAUAAACGAGCUAGUCAAGUAGAGGCAUACUAGGGACACUUAUGUUUUGUCUAUGUAUUCACACAUGUACUAAGUUUCCGGUUAAUACAAUUCUAGCAUGAAUAAUAAACAUUUAUCAUGAAAUAAGGAAAUAAAUAAUAACUUUAUUAUUGCCUCCAGGGCAUAUUUCCUUCAGUCUCCCACUUGCACUAGAGUCAAUAAUCUAGUUCACAUCGCCAUGUGAUUUAACAACAAUAGUUCACAUCACCAUGUGAUUAACACCCAUAGUUCACAUCACCAUGUGACCAACACUCAAAGGGUUUAGUAGAGUCAAUAAUCUAGUUCACAUCGCUAUGUGAUUAACACCCAAAGAGUGAUCAUGUUUUGCUUGUCAGAGAGAAGUUUAGUCAACGGGUCUGCCACAUUCAGAGCCAUAUGUAUUUUGCAAAUUUUCUAUGUAUACAAUGCUCUGCACGGAGCUACUCUAGCUAAUCGCUCCCUCUUUCAAUAUGUAUACAGAUUGAGACUUAGAGUCAUCCGGAUCAGUGUCAAACUUGCAUCGACGUAACACUUUAUGAUGAACUUUUUGUCACCUCCAUAACCGAGAAACAUGUCCUUAUUUCACUAAGGAUAAUUUUGACCAUUGUCCAGUGAUCCACUCCUGGAUCACUAUUGUACCCUCUUGCCAAACUCAUGGUGAGGUACACAAUAGAUCUGGUACACAACAUAGCAUACUUUAUAGAACCUAUGAGUGAGGCAUAGGGAAUGACUUUUCAUUCUCUUUCUUUUUUCUGCCGUGGUCGGGUUUUGUGUCUUUACUCAAUUUCACACCUUGCAAUACAGGCAAGAACUCCUUCUUUGACUGUUCCAUUUUGAACUACUUCAAAAUCUUGUCAAGGUAUGUACUCAUUGAAAAACUUAUCAAGCGUUUGAUCUAUCUCAAUAGAUCUUGAUGCUCAAUAUGUAAACAGAUUCACCGAGGUCUUUCUUUGAAAAACUCCUUUCAAACACUCCUUUAUGCUUUCCAGAAAAUUCUACAUCAUUUCCGAUCAACAAUAUGUCAUUCACAUAUACUUAUCAGAAAGGUUGUAGUGCUCCCACUCACUUUCUUGUAAAUACAGGCUUCACCGCAAGUCUGUAUAAAACUAUAUGCUUUGAUCAACUCAUCAAAGUGUAUAUUCCAACUCCGAGAUGCUUGCACCAGUCCAUAGAUGGAUCGCUGGAGCUUGCACACUUUGUUAGCACAUUUAGGAUUGACAAAACCUUCUUGUUGUAUCAUAUACAACUCUUCUUUAAGAAAUCUAUUAAGGAAUGCAGUUUUGACAUCCAUUUGCCAGAUUUCAUAAAACAUGGCAAUUGCUAACAUGAUUCAGACAGACUUAAGCAUCGAUACGAGUGAGAAAAUCUCAUCGUAGUCAAGACCUUGAACUUGUCGAAAACCGUUUGCGAAAAUUCGAGCUUUUGUAGAUAGUAACACUACUAUCAGUGUCCGUCUUCCUCUUGAAGAUCCAUUUAUUCUCAAUGGCUCGCUGAUACGUCUCCGUCGUAUCUACUUCCAAACAUUUUUGCCCUUGUUCUGGACUCUAACUUGCAUGAUUUGAAUGGAACUAACCCAGACUGACGCUGUUUUCAACAGACUUUCCAUGGUGUUAUUUAUGUGCAGAAACAAAAGUUCUCGGAAUGACCUGAAACUCCACGGAACAUCUAUUUGGAAAAUAAGAAAAAUACUGGAAGAAAAAUACACGUCAGGGGGGCCCACACCCUGUCCACGAGGGUGGGGGCGUGCCUACCCCCCUAGGGCGCGCCCCCCUACCUCGUGGGCCCCCUGACGCUCCACCGACCUCAACUCCAACUCCAUAUAUUCACUUUCGGGGAGAAAAAAAUCAGAGAGAAGGAUUCAUCGCGUUUUACGAUACGGAGCCGCCGCCAAGCCCUAAAACCUCUCGGGAGGGCUGAUCUGGAGUCCGUUCGGGGCUCCGGAGAGGGGGAUUCGUCACCGUCGUCAUCAUCAACCAUCCUCCAUCACCAAUUUCAUGAUGCUCACCGCCGUGCCUGAGUAAUUUCAUCGUAGGCUUGCUGGACGGUGAUGGGUUGGAUGAGAUCUAUCAUGUAAUCGAGUUAGUUUUGUUAGGGUUUGAUCCCUAGUAUCCACUAUGUUCUGAGAUUGAUGUUGUUAUGACUUUGCUAUGCUUAAUGAUUAUCACUAGGGCCCGAGUGCCAUGAUUUCAGAUCUGAACCUAUUGUUUUUUCAUGAAUAUAUGUGAGUUCUUGAUCCUAUCUUGCAAGUCUAUAGUCACCUACUAUGUGUUAUGAUCGGGUAACCCCGAAGUGACAAUAAUCGGGACCACUCCCGGUGAUGACCAUAGUUUGAGGAGUUCAUGUAUUCACUAUGUGCUAAUGCUUUGUUCCGGUUCUCUAUUAAAAGGAGGCCUUAAUAUCCCUUAGUUUCCAUUAGGACCCCGCUGCCACGGGAGGGUUGGACAAAAGAUGCCAUGCAAGUUCUUUUCCAUAAGCACGCAUGACUAUAUUCGGAAUACAUGCCUACAUUACAUUGAUGAAUUGGAGCUAGUUCUGUGUCACCCUAUGUUAUGAUUGUUACAUGAUGAACCGCAUCCGGCAUAAUUCUCCAUCACCGAUCCAAUGCCUACGAGCUUUUCAUAUAUUGUUCUUCGCUUAUUUACUUUUCCAUUGCUACUGUUACAAUCACUACAAAACACCAGAAAUAUUACUUUUGUUACCGUUACCACUACUAUCAUAUUACUUUGCUACUAAAUACUUUGUUGCAGAUACUAAGUUAUCCAGGUGUGGUUGAAUUGACAACUCAACUGCUAAUACUUGAGAAUAUUCUUUGGCUCCCCUUGUGUCGAAUCAAUAAAUUUGGGUUGAAUACUCUACCCUCGAAAACUGUUGCGAUCCCCUAUACUUGUGGGUUAUCAAGACUAUUUUCUGGCGCCGUUGCCGGGGACCAUAGCUCUAUUCUUUGAGUCACUUGGGAUUUAUAUCUGCUGGUCAUUAUGAAGAACUUGAAAGACGCUAAGACAACAAUUUAUCCCUCAACUACGAGGGGAGGUAAGGAACUGCCAUCUAGCUCUGCACUUGAUUCACCUUCUGUUUUGAGUAAGCUUGCGACACCUAAACCUGCUUCUGCUAUUCGUUCUGAUAUGUCGCAUGUUAUUGAUGAUGCCACUUCUGCUAUGCAUGAUACUUAUGAUGAAACUACUUCUACGCUUGAUACUACUGUGCCACUUAGUGAAUUUCUUGAUGAACAAAUGGUAGGGUUAGAGAGAAAGAAAUUAUUGAAACUGAUUAUAUAGAUGAAAGUGAUGAUGAAGACUCGCCUGUUAUUCCUGAGGGUUAUGUUUUUGAAAAAGAAGCUGCUUUAGCUAUUUUAGCUUGCAAAGAUAGAUAUGAGCUUAAGAGGUUAUUAGCUAAAUGGAGGCAGCAAUCUCUUAAUGCUAGAAUGAAACCUGACCCUGCUUUUGCUACUUCACCUAUCGGUGUUACUGAUAAGGAUUAUGAAUUCUCUGUUGAUCCUGAUAUAAUUACUUUGGUUGAAUCUGAUCCUUUUCAUGACUAUGAAUCUGAAAUUGUUGUGGCACAUCUUACUAAAUUAAAUGAUAUAGCCACCCUGUUCACUAAUGAUGAGAGAUCUCGCUACUUAUAUAUCCUUAAAAUAUUUCCGUUCAGAUUAAAGGGUGAUGCUAAGAUAUGGUUUAAUUCUCUUGAUCCUGGUUGUGUGCGUAGUCCCCAGGAUAUGAUUUAUUACUUCUCUGCUAAAUAUUUCCCUGCUCAUAAGAAGCAAGCUGCUUUGAGGGAAAUAUAUAAUUUUGUGCAAAUUGAAGAAGAGAGUCUCCCACAAGCUUGGGGGAGGCUUCUCAAGUUACUUAAUGCUUUGCCUGAUCAUCCUCUCAAGAAAAAUGAAAUACUUGAUAUCUUUUAUAAUGGACUAACCGAUGCUUCCAGAGAUUACCUGGAUAGUUGUGUUGGUUCUGUUUCAGGGAAAGAACACCGGAUGAAGCUGAAAAUCUAUUGAAUAAUAUGUUGACAAAUGAAAAUAAUUGGACACUUCCCGAGCCAGCUCCUGAGCCAAUUCCUAAACCAACUCCGAAGAAGAGGGGUGUUCUAUUUCUCAGUCCUGAAGAUAUGCAAGAGGCAAAGAAAUCUAUAAAGAAAAAGGUAUUAAAGCUGAAGAUGUUAAGAAUUUACCUCCUAUUGAAGAAAUACAUGGUCUUAAUUUACCGCCUGUCGAAGAAACAUAUGAUUUUAAUCCUCCACCUAUUGAAGAAACUCAUGGUCUUGAUAACCCGACACAGGUAGUAAAGGUAAAUUCUCUCUAUAGAUUUGAUGAAGGUGAUAUUCCUCACUAUAAGUCUGCUAGACAAUGCUUAGAAGAGUUUGAUAAUUUUAUUGUCAAACAAGAAAACUUCAAUGCUUAUGUUGGUAGACAAUUGAAAUACAAUUCCGAUAUGCUUGAACACUUGGGUAAUUAUAUGUCUAGAGUUAAAGGUGAACUUAAACUUAUUAGUAAACAUGCUUCUAUGGUUACCACUCAAGUAGAACAAGUACUUAAAGCUCAAAAUGAUUUUCUCAAUGAAAUGAAUAGUAAGAAAAAUGAUUAUGCUGUUAGAGUGGCUACUAGAACUGUUAAGAUGACUCAGGAACCUUUGUAUCCUGAAGGCCACCCUAAGAGAAUUGAGCAAGAUUCUCAGAGAAUUAAUAUUGAUGUACCUAGUCCUUCUAAAAAGAAGAAAAAGAAAAAUGAUAGGACUUUGCAUGCUUCUAGUGAACCUAUUGCUGAACCACCUGAGAAUCCAAAUGAUAUCUCUAUUUCUGAUGCUGAAACACAAUCUGGUAAUGAACAUGAACCUAGUGAAAAUGUUAAUGGUGAUGUUCAUGACGAUGCUCAACCUAGUAAUGAUAAUGAUGUAGAAAUUGAACCUGCUAUUGAUCUUGAUAACCCACAAUCAAAGAAUCAACAUUAUGAUAAGAGAGACUUUGUUGCUAGGAAACAUGGUAAAGAAAGGGAACCAUGGGUUCAGAAACCCAUGCCUUUUCCUCCCAAACCAUCCAAGAAAAAGGAUAAUGAGGAUUUUGAGCGCUUUGCUGAAAUGAUUAGACCUAUCUUUUUGCGUAUGCGAUUAACUAAUAUGCUCAAAAUGAAUCCUUAUGCUAAGUAUAUGAAAGAUAUUGUUACUAAUAAAAGAAAGAUACCGAAAGCUGAAAUUUCCACCAUGCUUGCUAAUUAUACUUUUAAGGGAGGAAUACCGAAGAAACUUGGAGAUCCAGGAGUACCCACUAUACCAUGCUCCAUUAAAAGAAACUAUGUUAAAACUGCUUUAUGUGAUCUUGGAGCCGGUGUUAGUGUUAUGCCUCUCUCUUUAUAUCGUUGACUUGAUUUGAAUAAGUUGACACCUACUGAAAUAUCUUUGCAAAUGGCUGAUAAAUCCACUGCUAUAUCUGUCGAUAUUUGUGAGGAUGUGCCUGUUGUAGUUGCAAACGUUACUAUUUUAACGGACUUUGUUAUUCUUGAUAUUCCCGAGGACGAUAGUAUGUCUAUUAUUCUUGGAAGACCUUUUUUGAAUACUGCAGGGGCUGUUAUUGAUUGCAACAAAGGCAAUGUCACUUUUCAUGUUAAUGGUAAUGAGCAUACGGUACACUUUCGGAGGAAACAACCUCAGGUCCACAGUAUCAAUUCUAUUGGAAAAAUUCCAUCGAUUAUUUUUGGAGGUUUUGAAUUUCCUCUACCUACUGUCAAGAAGAAAUAUGAUAUUCUUAUUAUAGGGGAUGUGCAUAUCCCCGUUGAGGUAACAUAGUGUUAUUCAAAAUUUCUCCGGUUUCAUGUUACUUCGAAUGAGUUUGUUAACAAGACUUGAUCAGCCUUGUUAAUGGAUUCCUUUUGAUGAGCAUGAGAUGGAUGAAACUAGAAGGCACAACCUUCUGUACCCUCUUUCUACUUUCUAUUAUUUAGUUGAAAUAAAGUAAAAAUAGUAUUUUCCUGUCUGUUUUCUGAUUUAUCCGUGCAAUAUAAAAAUAACCCAAAAAUAAAAGUUCUCCAAAUGCCCUGAAAAUGGAAUAUGAUUUUUUCUGGAAUAUUUGAGAAUAUCUGGCACUGAGAACACAGCAGGAGGGGCAAGCACCUGCCCACGAGGGUGGAGGGCGCGCCCUACCACCCCUGGGUGCGCCCCCUGCCUCGUGGGCCCACGGUGGGCCCCCUCCACUUAUUCCUGCACCCACACACUUCUUCUUCCUCCCAAAAACACCAAUAUCCAGCUCAAGCACGAGUUCUAGCUCAAUUUGCUGCGAUUUUCGAUCUCCUUGCUCAAAGCACCUCUCACAAAACUGCUUGGGGAGAUUGUUCCUUGGUAUGUGACUCCUCCAUUGGUCCAAUUAGUUUUUGUUCUAGUGCUCUAUUCAUUGCAAAUUUGUGCUGCCUAGGUGACCAUGUUCUUGAGCUUGCAUGUCAAAUUUAUAUGGUUCCAAGUAGUUCUAAUGCUUGAUAUAGUCUCUAGGCACUUGUAGGAGUAGUUGCUAUCAAUUUUGUUGAGCUUGGUUCACUUUUGUUUGAAGUUACUAAAAAUUUCAGAAAUUUUCAGAAAAUGAUGAAGAGAUUUUUGAGGGGCUCAUCGAGCCGAAGCUCAAAGGAAAAGCAGAAUGAAGAAGCACAGAGGCCCAAAUAUAAUUUGCCUCGCACUGCGGAGGUUCGGCCGUGUGAAUGGCCUUCCGAUGAUUUCUUGAGAGAAGCCGGGAUUUAUGAUGAUUUAUAUUCAUUGGCUAAGAAUGCAGGCCUCACCGACUUCCUCCGCGACCAACGUCAUCAGUAUCUCUUAUUCACCAAUACUUUUGUGCAAAACUUCUACUAUUAUCCUAAGGAAACACCUCCUUCAGUAGAGUUUCAUUUAUAUGAUGUUGUUAAGAAGAUGCCACUAGAUGAAUUUUGCAAGGUUUGCAAAAUACCCUUCGAGGGUACCUUAGAUGAACCACAUCGUAAAGACGUGGAUGGGUUUAUUGACACCAUUACUGUGGGGGAAACCAGGAAGGUUUCCGAUGCAAGAAUCACUAGCAUAAAUUUUCAUGUUUUACGCAACUUUGCCAUAUUUGCUAGUCGUUGCUUGAUUGGUCAUGAAAACUAUGGAAACCUUAGUGUUCCUGAUAUUAUCAUUUUGUUCCAUGGUUUAUUUUCCGAUAACACUGUUAGUAUGGGUGGUAUUAUUGCUAAACGGUUAAGUUUGAACCGUGCAAAGGGUCCCAUCUUUGGAGGUAUUUAUGCUUCACGCCUUGCUACAUAUUAUAAUAUACCUAUUAGGCAUUAUGAAAAAGAAGAAAAACUGCUGCCCACUGCUUAUUUAGAUUAUAAGAGUAUGGUAGCGCAUGAUUUCAUUGUUAAGAACAAGGAAGGGGAGCUUAAAUACAAAUUGUUCUUUGAUAAGCAUCACCCUGAGACUAUUAUCUUGCCUGCUCCUUCCUUGUUUAAUUUAUCUGCAGGCCCGUAUCUCAUUCCGUGGGCGGCCAUUUACGCUUACCGGAACCCUACACUAGCCACAGAGCCGGAACCACAAUUUGAGCCUCCAUGACAAUCUGAUUACUUUUGGGAUCCGGAGAUGACUGCCAGCCAGUGGCAAUCAGAGUCCUCUUCAUCUCAGUACGACCCCGGCUACAACUAUGGAUAUCCGCCAGGCCAUCCGUGGCAAUAAACCAACUUAGGCCAAAAGCCUAAGCUUGGGGGAGUACGUAUUUCCCACCGACAUUACAUUCAUGUUCAGACACUCAUUGUUAGAUGUCGGUGCUCAUACUCUUUCACUGUAAUAUCCAUGCUAGUUUAUUUUCCUUUUUCUUGCUUCUUCUUGUGUGUUUAAUAAACCUUAAGAAAAAACAAAAAAAAAAUUAGUUGUAGCUUUUUCUAGUUUACUUUUCUUGCUGUAGUAGUAAUAAGAAAGAAAAAAACCCAAAAAGAUUUCAUGUUCUUCUUUUGCUUGUUGGGAGCUUUCCCGUGUAAAUAGUUUUAUUUCCUUUCUUUUCUUUGGGGGUCGAUAGGAGAAGACCACAAUUAAAUUGUUGAAGUGGCUCUUAUAUGCAUUAUUGUUGAUUUAACCAAGAGCCCAUAUUGCCUUGUCUUCUCCUGUUUAUUGAAUGCUCGCAGAUCCCAGCUUAGUCCAAUGCACGUGCACUCUUAUUAUUUUCACAUCGUUCGGUCGUGCAAGUGAAAUGCAAUUAUGACGAUAUAUGAUGGACCGACUGAAAUGAGAAAAGUUGGUAUGAACUCGACCUCUCUUGUUUUUGUAAAUAUGAUUAGUUCAUCAUUCCUGAUUCAGCCUAUUAUGAAUAAACAUGUUUUCAAUGACAAUUAGAGAUCAUAGUUGCUUGUGCCAUGCUUGAUUAGCUAUGAGUUAUAAUGGUUUACCUUGCAUGCCAACAUGCUAUUAAAAUGGUUGUGAUGUGGUAUAGUGGGGUGGUAUCCUCCUUUGAAUGAAUUAAGUGACUCGACUUGGCACAUGUUCACACAUGUAGUUGAAACAAAUCAACAUAGCCUUCACGAUAUUUAUGUUCAUGGUGGAUUAUAUCCUACUCAUGCUUGUACUCAAUGUUUAUUAAUUUUAAUGCAUGUUCAUGACUAUUGUCGCUCUCUAGUUGGUCGCUUCCCAGUCUUUUGCUAGCCUUCACUUGUACUAAGCGGGAAUACUGCUUGUGCAUCCAAUCCCUUAAACCCCAAAGUUAUUCCAUAUGAGUCCACCAUACCUUCCUAUAUGCGGUAUCUACCUGCCGUUCCAAGUAAAUUUGUAUAUGUGCCAAACUCUAAACCUUCAAAUGAAAUUCUGUUUUGUAUGCUCGAAUAGCUCAUGUAUCAACUAGGGCUGCCCUUAUCUUCCAUGCUAUGCGGGUUAUUCUCAAGAGGAGUGGACUCCGCUCCUCACUCACGAGAAAAUGGCUGGUCACCGGGAUGCCCAGUCCCAUGCUUUAUGCAAACUAAAUCAAAAUAAUUGCAAACAAAACUCCCCCUGGGACUGUUGCUAGUUGGAGGCACUCGUUGUUUUGAGCAAGCCAUGGAUUGAUGCUUGUUGGUGGAGGGGGAGUAUAAACUUUACCAUUCCGUUUGGGAACCGCUUAUAAUGUGUGUAGCAUGGAAGAUAUCGCCAUCUCUUGGUUGUUAUGUUGACAAUGAAAUUAUGCCGCUCAAAAUAUUAUUUACCUCUAUUUCAAAACCGAGCUCUGGCACCUCUACAAAUCCCUGCUUCCCUCUGCGAAGGGCCUAUCUAUUUACUUUUAUGUUGAGUCAUCACCCUCUUAUUAAAAAGCACUAGCUGGAGAGCACAACUGUCAUUUGCAUCCAUUACUAUUAAUUUAUAUUGGGUAUGACUAUGACUGGAUCUCUUUUACCAUGAAUUACAAUGUCUAGUCAGUCCUUGAUCUUUAAAGGUGCUCUGCAUUUAUGUUUUGCGGUCUCAGAAAGGGCUAGCGAGAUACCAUCCUAUUAUAUCAUAUCAUGAUUGUUUUAAGAAAGUGUUGUCAUCCGAGAUUUAUUAUUAUGGCUCGCUAGUUGAUUAUGCUAUUGAUAUGAGUAAACAUGAGACCUAAGAGUUAUUGCAAAUGUGGUUAGUCAUAAUCUUUGCUAAAAACUUGAAUGCUGUCUUUACAUAUUUACAACAACAAGAGCAAACAGAGUUUGUAAAAGUUUUUCUUUAUCACUUUCAGCUUAUCAACUGAAUUGCUUGAGGACAAGCAAAGGUUUAAGCUAGGGGAGUUGAUACGUAUCUGUCGUAUCUACUUUUCCAAACACUUUUGACCUUGUUUUGGACUCUAACUUGCAUGAUUUGAAUGGAACUAACCCGGACUGACGCUGUUUUCAGCAGACUUUCCAUGGUGUUAUUUAUGUGCAGAAACAAAAGUUCUCAGAAUGACCUGAAACUCCACGGAACAUCUAUUUGGAAAAUAAGAAAAAUACUGGAAGAAAAAUCCACGUCAGGGGGCCCACACCAUGUCCACGAGGGUGGGGGCACACCUACCCCCUAGGGCACGCCCCUACCUCAUGGGCCCCCUGACGCUCCACCGACCUCAACUCCAACUCCAUAUAUUCACUUUCGGGGAGAAAAAUAUCAGAGAGAAGGAUUCAUCGCGUUUUACGAUACGGAGCCACCGCCAAGCCCUAAAACCUCUCGGGAGGGCUGAUCUGGAGUCCGUUCGGGGCUCUGUAGAGGGGGAUUCGUCGCCGUCGUCAUCAUAAACCAUCCUCCAUCACCAAUUUCAUGAUGCUCACCGCCGUGCGUGAGUAAUUCCAUCGUAGGCUUGCUGGACGGUGAUGGGUUGGAUGAGAUCUAUCAUGUAAUCGAGUUAGUUUUGUUAGGGUUUGAUCCCUAGUAUCCACUAUGUUCUGAGAUUGAUGUUGUUAUGACUUUGCUAUGCUUAAUGAUUAUCACUAGGGCCCGAGUGCCAUGAUUUCAGAUCUGAACCUAUUAUUUUUUCAUGAAUAUAUGUGAGUUCUUGAUUCUAUCUUGCAAGUCUAUAGUCACCUACUAUGUGUUAUGAUCGGGUAACCCCGAAGUGACAAUAAUCGGGACCACUCCCGGUGAUGACCAUAGUUUGAGGAGUUCAUGUAUUCACUAUGUGCUAAUGCUUUGUUCCGGUUCUCUAUUAAAAGGAGGCCUUAAUAUCCCUUAGUUUCCAUUAGGACCCCGCUGCCACGGGAGGGUUGGACAAAAGAUGCCAUGCAAGUUCUUUUCCAUAAGCACGCAUGACUAUAUUCGGAAUACAUGCCUACAUUACAUUGAUGAAUUGGAGCUAGUUCUGUGUCACCCUAUGUUAUGAUUGUUACAUGAUGAACCGCAUCCGGCAUAAUUCUCCAUCACCGAUCCAAUGCCUACGAGCUUUUCAUAUAUUGUUCUUCGCUUAUUUACUUUUCCGUUGCUACUGUUACAAUCACUACAAAACACCAAAAAUAUUACUUUUGUUACCGUUACCACUACUAUCAUAUUACUUUGCUACUAAAUACUUUGCUGCAGAUACUAAGUUAUCCAGGUGUGGUUGAAUUGACAACUCAACUGCUAAAACUUGAGAAUAUUCUUUGGAUCCCCUUGUGUCGAAUCAAUAAAUUUGGGUUGAAUACUCUACCCUCGAAAACUGUUGCGGUCCCCUAUACUUGUGGGUGAUCACUCGCCGAUCAUCAGGCAAGUCAAUCAAAGUCCAUACUUUGUUUUCAUACAUGGAUCCCAUCUACGAUUACAUGGCCUCAAGCCAUUUCGCGGAAUCUGGGCUCAUCAUCGCUUCCUCAUAGUUCGUAGGUUCGUCAUGGUCUAGUAACAUGACUUCCAGAACAGGAUUACCGUACCACUCUGGUGCGGACCAUACUCUGGUUGACCUACGAGGUUCGGCAGCAACUUGAUCUGAAGUUUCAUGAUCAGCAUCAUUAACUUCCUCACUAAUUGGUGUAGGCAUCACUGGAACUGAUUUCUGUGAUGGACUACUUUCCAAUUGGGGAGAAGGUACAGUUACCUCAUCAAGUUCUACUUUCCUCCCACUCACUUCUUUCGAGAGAAAAUCCUUCUCUAGAAAGGAUCCAUUCUUAGCAACGAAUAUCUUGCCUUCAGAUCUGUGAUAGAAGGUGUACCCAACAGUCUCCUUUGGGUAUACUAUGAAGACGCAUUUCUCCGAUUUGGGUUCGAGCUUAUCAGGUUGAAGCUUUUUCACAUAAGCAUCAUAGCCCCAAACUUUAAGAAACGACAGCUUAGGUUUCUUGUUAAACCACAGUUCAUGCGGUGUUGUCUCAACGGAUUAGAUGGUGCCCCAUUUAACGUGAAUGCUGCUGUCUCUAAUGCAUAAUCCCAAAACGAUAGUGGUAAAUCGAUAAGAGACAUCAUAGAUCGCACCAUAUCCAAUAAAGUACGGUUACGACGUUCGGACACACCAUUACGCUGCGGUGUUCCAGGUGGCGUGAGUUGUGAAACAAUUCCGCAUUGUUUCAAAUGAAGACCAAACUCAUAACUCAAAUAUUCACCUCCACGAUCAGAUCAUAGAAACUUUAUUUUCUUGUUACAAUGAUUUUCCACUUCACUCUGAAAUUCUUUGAACUUUUCAAAUGUUUCAGACUUUUGUUUCAUCAAGUAGAUAUAUCCAUAUCUGCUCAAAUCAUCUGUGAAGGUCAGAAAAUAACGAUACCUGCCGUGAGCCUCAACACUCAUCGGACCACAUACAUCAGUAUGUAUUAUUUCCAACAAGUCUGUUGCUCGCUCCAUUGUUCCGGAGAACGGAGUCUUAGUCAUCUUGCCGAUGAGACAUGGUUCGCAAGCAUGAAGUGAUUCAUAAUCAAGUGAUUCCAAAAGCCCAUCAUCAUGGAGUUUCUUCAUGCGCUUUACACCAAUAUGACCUAAAUGGCAGUGCCACAAAUAAGUUGCACUAUCAUUAUUAACCUUGCAUCUUUUGGCUUCAAUAUUAUGAAUAUGUGUAUCACUACGAUCGAGAUUCAAUCAACCAUUUAUAUUAAGUGUAUGACCAUAGAAGGUUUUAUUCAUGUAAACAGAACAACAAUUAUUCUUUGACUUGAACGAAUAACCGUAUUGCAAUAAACAUGAUCUAAUCAUAUUCAUGCUCAACGCAAACACCAAAUAACAUUUAUUUUAGGUUCAACAUUAAUCCCGAAGGUAAAAGGAGUGUGCGAUGGUGAUCUUAUCAACCUUGGAAUCAUUUCCAAUACACAUCGUCACCUCGUCCUUAACUAAUCUCUGUUUAUCUUGCAACUCCUGUUUCUAGUUACUACUCUUAGCAACUGAACCAGUAACAAAUACCGAGGGGUUGCUAUAAACACUAGUAAAGUACACAUCAAUAACAUGUAUAUUAAAUAUACCUUUGUUCACUUUGCCAUCCUUCUUAUCCGCCAAGUAUCUAGGGUAGUUCCGCUUCCAGUGACCAUUUCCUUUGCAGCAGAAGCACUCAGUUUCAGGCUUGGGUCUAGCUUUGGGUUUCUUCAUGGGAGUGGCAACUUGCUUGCCAUUCUUCUUGAAGUUCCCUUUCUUUUCCUUUGCCCUUUUACUUGAAACUAGUGGUCUUGUCAACCAUCAACACUUGAUGCUUUUUCUUGAUUUCUACCUUCGCCGAUUUCAGCAUCGCGAAGAGCUCGGGAAUCGUUUUCGUCAUCCAUUGCAUAUUAUAGUUCAUCACGAAGUUCUAGUAGCUUGGUGAUAGUGACUAGAGAACACUAUCAAUCACUAUAUUAUCUGGAAGAUUAACUCCCACUUGAUUCAAGCGAUUUUAGUACCCAAACAAUCUGAGCACAAGCUCACUGGUUGAGCUAUUCUCCUCCAUCUUGUAGGCAAAGUACUGUCAGAGGUCUCAUACCUCUCGACACGGGCAUGAGUCUGAAAUAUUAAUUUCAACUCUUGGAAUAUCUCAUAUGCUCCAUGGCGUUCAAAACGUUUUUGAAGUCCCGGUUUCAAGCCGUAAAGCAUGGUGCACUAAACUAUCAAGUAGUCAUCAUAUCGAGCUUGCCAAACGUUCAUAACGUCUGCAUAUACUCCUACAAUAGGUCUGUCACCUAGCGGUGCAUCAAGGACAUAAUUCUUCUGUGCAGCAAUGAGGAUAAUCCUCAGAUCACGGACCUAGUCCGCAUCAUUGCUACUAUCAUCUUUCAACUUAGUUUUCUCUAGGAACAUAUCAAAAAAAAAUAGGGGAGCUAUACGCGAGCUAUUGAUCUACAACAUAGAUAUGCAAAUACUACCAGGACUAAGUUCAUGAUAAAUUAAUGUUUAAUUAAUCAUAUUACUUAAGAACUCCCACUUAGAUUGACAGCCCUUUAGUCAUCUAAAUGAUCACGUGAUCCAAAUCAACUAAACCAUGUCUGAUCAUCACGUGAGAUGGAGUAGUUUUCAAUGGUGAACAUCACUAUGUUGAUCAUAUCUACUAUAUGAUUCACGCUCGACCUUUCGGUCUUAGUGUUCCGAGGCCAUAUCUGCAUAUGCUAGGCUCGACAAGUUUAACCCGAGUAUUCUGCUUGUGCAAAAUUGGCUUGCACCCUUUGUAUGUGAACAUAGAGCUUAUCACACCCGAUCAUCACGUGGUGUCUCGGCACGACGAACUGUCGCAACGGUGCAUACUCAGGGAGAACACUUGUACCUUGAAAUUUAGUAAGGGGUCAUCUUAUAAUGCUACCGCCAUACUAAGCAAAAUAAGAUGCAUAAAGGAUAAACAUCACAUGCAAUCAAUAUAAGUGAUAUGAUAUGGCCAUCAUCAUCUUGUGCCUUUGAUCUCCAUCUCCAAAGCACCGUCAUGAUCACCAUCGUCACCGGCUUGACACCUUGAUCUCCAUCGAAUCAUCUUUGUCAUCUCGCCAACUAUUGCUUCUACGACUAUCGCUACCGCUUAGUGAUAAAGUAAAGCAAUUACAUGGCGAUUGCAUUUCAUACAAUAAAGCGACAACCAUAAGGCUCCUGCCAGCUGCCGAUAACUUUUACAAAACAUGAUCAUCUCAAACAACAAUUUAUAUAUCAUCACGUCUUGACCAUAUCACAUCACAACACGCCCUGCAAAAACAAGUUAUAGACAUCCUCUACUUUGUUGUUGCAAGUUUUACGUGGCUGCUACGGGCUUAGCAAGAACCGUUCUUACCUAUGGAUCAAAACCACAAUGAUUUUUCGUCAAGUGUGUUGUUUUAACCUUCAACAAGGACCGGGCGUAGUCACACUCGAUUCAACUAAAGCUGGAGAAACAGACACCCGCUAGCCACCUGUGUGCGAACCACGUCGGUAGAACCAGUCUCAUGAACGCGGUCAUGUAAUGUCGGUCUGGGCCGCUUCAACCAACAAUACCGCCGAAUCAAAGUAUGACAUGCUGGUAAGCAGUAUGACUAUUAUCGCCCACAACUCUUUGUGUUCUACUCAUGCAUAUAACAUCUACGCAUAGACCUGGCUCGGAUGCCACUGUUAGGGAACGCAGUAUUUCAAAAAAAUUCCUACGAUCACACAAGAUCUAUCUAUGUGAUGCAUAGCAACGAGAGGGGAGAGUGUGUCCACAUACCCUCGUAGACCGAAAGCGGAAGCGUUAAGUAACGCGGUUGAUGUAGUCGAACGUCUUCACGAUCCAACCGAUCAAGUACCGAACGCACGGCACCUCCGCGAUCUGCACACGUUUAGCUCGGUGACGUCCCUCGAACUCUAUAUCCAGCUGAGGCCGAGGGAGAGUUCCGUCAGCACGACGGCGUGGUGACGGUGAUGAUGAAGUUACCGGCGCAGGGCUUCGCCUAAGCACUACGACGAUAUGACCGAGGUAGAAAACUGUGGAGGGGGGUGCCGCACACGGCUAGGAACAAUUGAUGUGUGUUCUAGGGGUGCCCUCCCCACGUAUAUAAAGGAGGGAGAGGGAGGGAGGCAUCCUAGGGCACGCCCAAGUAGGAGGAAUCCUACUUGGGCCCCUAGUCCAAUUCAGCCCCCCCUUACCAUAUUUGGACAAGGGGGAAGGAAGUAGGAGUCCUACUUCAUACUUUCCUUUUCCUCCUCUCCUUUCCUUUUCUCCCCACGUGGUUGGCCCUAUAGGGGGCGCACCAGCCCCUUGUGGGCUGGUGUGUUCCCUUACUUGGCCCAUAAAGCCCAUUCUUUGCCGGGGGUUGCCCGGAACCCCUUCCGGUGACCCGGUAUCACUCGGAACACUUCCGGUGUCCGAAUAUAGUCUUCCCAUAUAUGAAUCUUUACCUCUCGACCAUUUCGAGACUCCUCGUCAUGUCCGUGAUCUCAUCCGGGACUCCGAACAAACUUCGGUCAUCAAAUCACAUAACUCAUAAUACAAAUCGUCAUCGAACGUUAAGCGUGCGGACCCUACGGGUUCAAGAACUAUGUAGACAUGACCGAGACACAUCUCCGGUCAAUAACCAAUAGCAGAACCUGGAUACUCAUAUUGGCUCCUACAUAUUCUACGAAGAUCUUUAUCGGUCAAACCACAUAACAACAUACAUUGUUCCCUUUGUCAUCGGUAUGCUACUUGCCCGUGAUUCGAUCGUCGGUAUCCUCAUACCUAGUUCAAUCUCGUUACCGGCAAGUCUCUUUACUCGUUCCGUAAUGCAUCAUCCCUCAACUAACUCAUUAGUCACAUUGCCUGCAAGGCUUAUAGUGAUGUGCAUUACCGAGAGGGCCCAGAGAUACCUCUCCGAUAAACGGAGUGACAAAUCCUAAUCUCGAUCUAUGCCAACCCAACAAACACCUUCGGAGACACCUGUAGAGCAUCUUUAUAAUCACCCAGUACGUUGUGACGUUUGAUAGCACACAAGGUGUUCCUCCGGUAUUCGGGAGUUGCAUAAUCUCAUAGUGAGAGGAACAUGUAUAAGUCAUGAAGAAAGCAAUAGCAAUAAAACUUAACGAUCAUAAUGCUAAGCUAACAAAUGGGUCUUGUCCAUCACAUCAUUCUCCUAAUGAUUUGACCCCGUUCAUCAAAUGACAACACAUGUCUAUGGUUAGGAAACAUAACCAUCUUUGAUAAACGAGCUAGUCAAGUAGAGGCAUUCUAGGGACACUUAUGUUUUGUCUAUGUAUUCACACAUGUACUAAGUUUCCGAUUAAUACAAUUCUAGCAUGAAUAAUAAGCAUUUAUCAUGAAAUAAGGAAAUAAAUAAUAACUUUAUUAUUGCCUCUAGGGCAUAUUUCCUUCAAAAAUAUCCGCUACCAGCUUUGUGUUGCAACCAGGGUGCAACAAUCGCUCCAAGGUUGUAACUUUUGUCACCGAUGAAAGCGGUGCGUAUGAGGCUCAAGUCUGGAGCACAUAGUGUACUACAAUCUUGUUUGCCUACAAUGCAUUUCCAUUAAAUAGUGCAAAGUAUUGAAUUGAGGGAAAAUGAAUGCUCUUUAUUCUACCUUGUGUCACUCCUCUAGUCUCCCCAUAGUAAAGACUAGUCAAGUAUAUCUCAAACUCAGACCUUGGUGGUUCAUCUAACGAACCCCAAAAUGGAAUUUUGUAGUAGUUAGAAAAUGUCUCUAAGGGUAGAGUGAAAGGAUAGUCGUACAGUUUAAACGACACUUUAGACUCACGUGGGUGGAAUUUAAAUUCUUAAGUAAAUGAUGCAGUGAGGCUGAGGUGUUGGUUGCACUUAUCUGCAAUGUAGGGACCGAGCUCGGCAUUGUGAACAUAUCGCUUGAAUUCUUCCUUAAUGCCCACACGCACCAUAUAAUCGUUGCAUGGCCAUAAACAUGAUUUGGUGGCGGCAUCUCGUAUGGAAUUUUCACUUGGUUCAACAUAAGACCAGCGAACGAAGCUGCUACUAGAAGAUCCCUCUGAGGACCUCCUCCUCAAAGAACUCCUCCCAAAGAGGUUCAUCAUAUUUGCGUACAAUUUUCUGAAAAAGUUUGGGUCACAAAAUUUAUCAACAAAAAUUCACAAUAAUGAUAGCAACUACUCAUAGAGAUGCAUAGAGGCCAUAUCAAGCAUUCAAACUACUUAGAACUCUAAGAAUUCAACAUGCAAGCUCAUCUACAGCAGCACCAAGAGUAACUAAUUAUUCAAAAUAUAAACUACUAAAGUAAAAACUAAUUUGACCAAUGGAGGAGUCACAUAGCAAGCAACAAUCCCCCGAAACAGUUUCAGAAACGGAGCUUCGAGCAAAGAGAUCAAAAUCCGCAGAUUUGAGAGCAAGAACACGAGAGAGAGAGAGAGAGAGAGAGAGAGAGAGAGCAAUGGUGAUUUUUUUUCUGGAGGUAGGUGGUGAUAUGGGAUGAAGAGAUAAGUGAGGGGGCCCAUGUGGGGAACACAAACCACCAGGGCGCGCCUGGGGGUGCUGGUACGCCCAGGUGGGGUGUGCCCACCUGGUGCACCUCCUCUGAUGUUAUUUGAAUGAAAAAUUCAGAAAAAAACAUAUUAAUUUUUCAGAGCAUUCUGAGAACGUUUAUUUUUUGGUCAUUUUUUAUUGCACGGGAAAUUCAGAAAACAGACAAAACAUGGCAUUUUAUUUACUUUGACUAAGUAAAACAGAAAACAAAAGGUAGGGAUAGAAGGUAGUGCUUACUAAAUUCAUCAACUUCAUACCUUUCAAAAAUGAUUCAUUAAUAAGGUUGAUCAAGUCUUAUUAACAACCACUUCUGAUUAGCAUGAAACCGAAGAACUUUCGUAAAACACUAAGUUACCUCAACGGGGAUAUGAAUGUCCCCAACAAUAAGCAUUUCAUAUUUCUUUUUAACAGUAGGUAGAGGUAGUUGAAAACUUCCAAUAGUGAUUAUCGGAGAUUUUUCAAUAACAUUAAUACCAUUCACUUGGAAUUGCUUCUUCGGAAAGUGCACCGUAUGCUCAUUACCAUUGAUAUAAAAAGUGACCUUGCUUUUAUUGCGAUCAAUAACAGCCCCUACAGUAUUCAAGAAGGGUCUAUCAAGGAUAAUCGGCAUGUUGUCGUCCUCGGGCAUCUCAAGUAUAACAAAGUUAGAUAAGAUAGUAACAUUAGCAACAACAACGGGCACAUCCUCACAAAUACUGAUAGGUAUGACGGUUGAUUUGUCAGCCAUUUGCAAAGAUAUUUCAGUAGGUGUGAGUUUAUUCAAAUCAAGUCUUUUAUAUAAAGAGAAAGGCAUAACACUAACACCAGCUACUAAAUCACAUAAAGCAGUUUUCACAUAAUUUCUUUUGAUGGAGCAAGGUAUAGUUGGUAUUCACAGAUCUCCAAGUUUUUUAAGUACUCCAUCCUUAAAAGUAUAAUUAGCAAGGUACUUUGCGUAAGGAGGCAUCUUUAAGAUAUGACUCAAGCGGGUACGCAAAAAUACUGGCCUAAGCAUUUCAGCAAAGCAUUCAAAUUCUUCAUCGUCUUUCUUUUUAGUUGACUUAGGCGGAAAGGGCAUAGGUUUUUGAACCCCUGGUUCUCUUUCCUUACCAUGUUUUCUAGCAACAAAGCCCAUGUUAUCAUAUCUUUUAUUCUUGGGUUGUGGGUUAUCAAGAUCAACAACCGGUUCUAUUUCAACAUCAUUAUCUGGUUCUUUAUUAUUUGUUUGAGUAUCUUCAUGAACCUCAUCAUUAUCCUUUUCAUUAUCAGAGGGUGAGUGUUCAUUACCAUAUUGAGUUUCAGCAUCAGAAAUAGAAACAUCAUUAUCAUUGUCAGGAGGUUUUUCUACUUCAAGUUCACUAGAGGCAUGCAAAGUCCUACUAUUUUUCUUCUUCUUUUUCUUUUCGGAAGGACUAGGUGCAUCGGUGUUAAUACUUUGAGGGUCUUGUUCAAUUCAUUUAGGGUGUCCCUCAGGAUAAAGUGGUUCCUGAGUCAUUUUACCUCCUCUAGUUGCUACUCUAACAGCAAAGUCAAUUAUAUUAUUGUUCAUUUCAUUGAGCAAUUCUCUUUGGGAUUUAGCAACUUGUUCUAGUUGAGUUUGAACCAUAGAGGCAUGCUUUCCUACACCUCUAACAUCAUUGGUAAUUCUAAAUAACAAGUCACUCAAACGAGAAAUCAUAUCAGAAUUGUGUUUCAGUUGUUUCAUAACAUUUGCAUUGAAGUGAUCUUGUUUUCUAAUGUAGUUAUCAAACUCAUAAAGGCAUUGACUAGGAUGCAUAUUAUAAGGAUUAUCAUUGUCAUUGAAUUUCAUUAAAGAAUUUACCUCUACCACCUUAGGCAGUGGUGGUGUUUCAAGCCCAUGUAUUUCUUCAAUAGGAGGUAAAUUUUUGACAUCCUCGGCUUUAAUACCUUUUUCAUUCAUAGAUUUCUUUGCCUCUUGCAUAUCUUCAGGACUGAGAUAUAAGAUACCCCUCUUCUUCGGAGUAGGUUUAAGCGGUGGUUCAGGAAGAGUCCAAUCAUCAUAAUUUUUCAAUAUAUUAUUCAAUAGUUCUUCAGCUUGUCCAAUAGUUCGUUCCCUAAAAACACAACCGGCACAACUAUCUAGGAAAUCCUUAGAAGCAUCGGUUAGUCCAUUAUAGAAGAUAUCCAGUAUUUCAGUUUUCUUAAGAGGAUGAUCAGGCAAAGCAUUAAGCAAUUGGAUAAGCCUCCCCCAAGCUUGUGGGAGACUCUCUUCUUCAAUUUGCACGAAGUUAAAUAUUUCAUGUAAGGCAGCUUGUUUCUUAUGAGCGGGAAAAUAUUUUCCAGAGAAGUAAUAAAUCAUAUCCUGGGGACUACGCACACAACCAGGAGCAAGUGUAUUAUACCAAGUCUUAGCAUCCCCCUUUAAUGAUAAUGGGAAUAAUUUGAGAAUGUAAUAAUAGCGAAUCUUCUCAUCAUGAGCAAAAAGGGUGGCUAUGUCAUUCAACUUAGUAAGAUGUGGCACAACAGUUUCAGUUUCAUAACCAUGGAAAGGAUCAGAUUCAACCAAAGUAAUUAACUCUGGGUUGACAGAGAAUUCAUAUCCUUAUCAUCAGCAAAGAUAGGUGAAGUAGCAAACUUAGGAUCACAUUUCAUUCUAGCAUUCAAAGAUUUUUCUUUCAGUUUGCAUAAUAAUUUCUUAAAUCAUCCCUAUCAUUGCAAGCAAGAAAGUCUCUAGUUGUCUCCUCAUUCAUAACAUGGUAUCUUAGGCAAUUCAUAUCUAGGAGAACUAGAUCUAAUAGGUGUUUCAAGAUUUUCAGUUUCAAGCUCUUCAUCAGUUUCAAUAAUUUCAUCAGUUUCAACAUUCACAAAAGCUUUAGUUCUAGCAAUUUGUUCAUCAAGAAAUUCACGUAGUAUCACAUUAUCAUCAAGCAAGGUACUAGCAUCAUCAUGAGUAUCAUUCAUAGCAGAAGUAGCAUCAUCAAUGACUUGCAACAUGUCAGGAUUAAUAACAUGUGGUGGUGAAUCAAGUGCAGAGCUAGAUGGCAGUUCCUUACCUCCCCUUGUCUUAGAGGGAAAAAUCUUAGUCUUGGCACCCUUCAGAUUCUUCAUAGAGAUAAUUUGAUAAUAAUCCCAAGUGACUCAGAAAAUAUAGCUAUGCUCCCCGGCAGCGGCGCCAGAAAAAGUUCUUGAUAACCCACAAGUAUAGGGGAUCACAACAGUUUUCGAGGGUAGAGUAUUCAACCCAAAUUUAUUGAUUCGACACAAGGGGAGCCAAAGAAUAUUUGCAAGUAUUAGCAGUUGAGCUGUCAAUUCAACCACACUUGGAGAUUAAUUAUCUGCAGUAGAGUGAUCAGUAGCAAAGUAGUAUGAUAGUUUUGAUAGUAGUAGCAACAGCAAUAAUAACGGUAACAGUAGUAGCGGUGAUUUUGUAGCAAGUGUAACAAUAACAAUAGUAGUAGUAACUUAGCAGGAACAAUAUGAGAGAAAUGUGUAGCCACUGGAUCGGUGAAUUCAUUGGAUGAUAUUCAUCAUAUAACAGUCAUAACCUAGGGCAGUACGGCUCUAGCUCCAGUUCAUAAAUAUAAUGUAGGCAUGUAUUCCGUAAAUAGUCAUACAUGCUUAUGGAAAGAACUUGCAUGACAUCUUUUGUCCUACCCUCCCGUGGCAGCGGGGUCCUAUUGGAAACUAAGGAAUAUUAAGGCCUCCUUUUAAAAGAGAACCGUAACAAAGCAUUAACACAUAGUGAAUACAUGAACUCCUCAAACUACGGUCAUCACCGGGAAGUGUCCCGACUUCUGUCACUCUGGGUUUGCCGGAUCAUAACACGUAGUAGGUGACAAUAACUUGCAAGAUCGGAUCUAGAACAUAGAUAUAAUGGUGAUAACAUAAACGGUUCAGAUAUGAAAUCAUGGCACCCGGGCCCAAAGUGACAAGCAUUAAGCAUGGAAAAACCAUAGCAACAUCAUUCUCAGAAUAUAAUGGAUACUAGGGAGCAAGCCCUAACAAAACUAACUCGAUUACAUGAUGAAUCUCAUCCAACUCCUCACUGACCAGCGAGCCUACGAAGGAAUUACUCACUCCCGGUGGGGAGCAUCAUGGAAUUAACGAUGGAGAAGGGUUGGUGAUGACGAAGAUCGAAGAUCCCCCUCUCCGGAGCCCCAAACGGACUCCAGAUCUGGCCUCCCGAUGAAGAACAGGAGGUGGCGGAGGCUCCGUCUCGUGAAACGCGAUAAUUCUUUCUCCUUGAUUCUUUUUCCCAGAACAUGUGAAUUUAUAGUAUCAGGGUUGAAGUCUGUGGGGCCACCAGGUGGGGACAACCCACCUGAGCACGCCCUUCUGCACAAAAACAACACCAUGGUAGUUCUACUGAAAACAGCGUCAGUCCGGGUUAGUUUCAUUCAAAUCAUGCAAAUUAGAGUCCAAAACAAGAGGAAAACGUUAGGAAAAGUAGAUACAACGGAGAGUAUCAAGGAAGAUGGCAAGGAACCAAGAUGCGGCGGCCGAGGAGAGGAGGGUGGCGGCCGAGGAGAGGAAGGUGGCAUUGGAGGAGAAGAAAUUGGCCAUGGAGGAGCAAACUAGAAUGUUGGAAUGGAGAAGUACUUGUUCUACAUGGACACAUCUACUCUCGAUGAGAAGCAAAAGGAGUACGUCAAUCUUGCCCAUGAAGAAGUUUUGCUCCAAAAAAGAGCCAUGGCCAUGGGAGGCAUGGGAGGCAUGGGAGCACCUAUGGGAGGCAUGGGUGGCAUGGGAGGCAUGGCUACCAUGGGAGGCAUGGGUGGCUUCGGAGCUACCAUGGGCGGCAUGGGAGACAUGGGUGGCUUCGGAGCUACCAUGGGGGCAUGGGAGGCAUGGGUGGCUUCGAAGCUACCAUGGGAGUCAUGAGUUUUGCGUGUCUUAUGGGAGACAUGGGAGCACCUCCGGGUGACAUGGGUGGAUGCAUGUCUUCCGGUGUGCCUCCUCACAUACUUUCGCAUGAUGCCGUUGAAGAUCUUGCCAACACCUUCCGAGCUCCCCAUGAUGAUGCGGCACACAACAAUAAAGAGGAGGAGGAAGAAUUGUCUUCGGAUGAGGAUGAAGAACCGGAAGAAGAGGAGGACGAGGAUGAGGAUGCGGCAUGAUAGUUGAUGUGCCAUUUGUUUGUGUGAACUUUUAUGUCAUGAACUUGUUUGGGUGAUUUUGAGAACUUGGUUGGAUGAUGAUGUGGCAUGAUUGUUGAUGUGCCGUGCAAUUGAACUAUGCUAUGUCUUUUUUUAUGUUUGAAAUAUCACCAUAUUGUCUCAAAAUGAACAUGUUGCAAGCGCCGGCUGCUCAAGCGCGCUGUAGUUUAGCGCGUCUGCUGGAGCGGCACGCGCGCAUUUUUUUGCAGCGACCGCUGGAGUGGGCGCUCUACGGCGCGCUAAAAGUCGCUAUUUCGGCGCUGUAAACUUGUUUUAGCUCGCCACGCGGUUGCGCGCCUGUUGGAGAUGCUCUUAUGGUAAAUUAUAUUAUUAAGUAAUUUUAGUCAGCUCAAAAGGCUCCAAGUUUCAUUGUCUAUUAUUUCCUGCUCAACCCUGACAUGAAGACAUUUAGUUUGUCUUUGUUUUGGUUGCUUUACCACUCGGUCUUGAUGCCUGAACUAUGUGAGCAUUGUCAGCUUAGUAAAAUGGUAUGAACUUGUGUGCAAUACACAUGGCAGGUCGGAAAACUAACAUUGUAUCUGCAUAUACUGCUUGAGGCACAAUUUUUUGAAAACAUGUUGGUGGCCAGUGGUCAACAAAAGUUUUUAACAUUCUACACGGUGUUAAUAUUCUGGAACUUAUUUUAGUUGACUGCAUAACUGAAUAACAUUUCACUUCACAUUCUUAGUAUAUAUUUUUCAGGCACAUUUUUUCUGGCAAAUGGGCAUGUUGCAACGGUAUUAAAGCCAUGAGAUGAGCCAUAAACGAUUCAUCGUCUCCUUUAUUUGUAAGGUGUGAUAUGGAUGAUAACAAAAUCAAAUCUUUACUCCGGCAAGAAAAGUCACCUUACCAGUGGAGAAAAUCAUCUUCAGUCGACCUGCUAGACUUGGGCGGAGCUGGAAAUGCAAAAUAAGGUGUAGUAUAUUCUAAACACUAACUGUCUAACGGUUUAAUGUUAUUUUAGGACCAUUGUAUAAUAUGCAAUGUAUUUUUCAAAUUUUGAACCAUUGUACGGAAAUUAUAUUAUUUAUACGGUGUAUGUGUAAAUAUUGGCACCCCCGUCACUAACAUCCUUGGUCUUCCCGGUGCUGCUAGACACACACCGAGCAUGCUUUAUGCAAUGAGUAUGAACAGUGCUAUGGGGCUGAUGUUAAUACAUAGAGGCAAACAUAUUCAAUCAUUUCCUCAUGUUUACUUCUCACAGUUGCAUGUCAGGUAAUAGAGCAAACACUUUUUGCCGCCUUGUCACCAUGGAUUAAUUGUGCUAUUAUUAAUUUUCUAUGCUGAAAAGCAAUCGAAACACACGCUCUAAUGUCUACACAAAAGUAUCAUGUAUCCUGAGAUUAAAUCCUGAUGUUCAUAACGUAUUUUAAGGAAAUGAGUAAUGCUUACGUCUUGGGUGAUAGCUAGCACGAUAGCUUGUGUUCUUUUCUACAUGAAUUAGUAGAAGAGUGCUUCUUGCUCUGGGAUAUGAUCUUCCUUGGAUGCAGUAGCACUUUUGAACUUGUACUUACCCUCCUCUCUGUGUAGGUCUGCAUCAAUUAAUUUUGUUGUUGAUCUCCCUUUCCAUGUUUUUUUCUCUGUUUUGUUAUCUUAGCAAAAUAUCGUAGCAAUAUAGUUAUACCGAUUAUUGCAUGUGGUUGAUCAAAGUAGAAGACUAUUGUUUAUAAGUAUAUAUUUGUUCUUCUAUACACAAUAACAUGCAUUGCUUUUAAUGCAUGUUCAAGAAGGAGAAAAUAAUUAGAUUGCCGGUUAAUAUGUGACUACCUUUCUAAUGAGAGUAACUUCGUGUUGCUGAGUUUUCACUAUUUGCUUCCAAAAGUUGUUGCGCCCAUACUAGAAAGGCCAUAAUGAGAAUGUAUAUAACAUUAGCUUCUUAUUUAUUUUGCUAAUUGCAGUGUGACUCUAAUUAUAGCCGCCAACAAGAAGUCCCUUGAUCUCAUAUGGUGAGAUGAUGAUUUUUUCUUUCUAAAAUAUUCACGCGGUAAUUUUGGCAAACCCAAAUAUCUUUUUUCCUGCCAUGCAUGCAGAGUGGAUGGGCCUUUUGAUUCAUUUUGUAGAAUAGUAGAUGCAACUUCGAAGAAAAAGUUGUUGAAAAUAGGAGAGAGAGAGAGAGUGAGAGAGGAGGGAGGGAGGGAGAGGAGGAGAGAGAAAGGAAGAGAGAAUAACUUUCUAUUACGAAGGGGGAGAGGGAGAGUGUGUGUUACUUUGAAGAACAAGCUGUCGAAACUAGGAGAGGGAGAGAUUCAUUUCGUAUAGUGGCUGCAACUUUGAAGAACGGGUUGUAGAGGGCGGGAGGUGGUAAAAAGAAGUCGGCAUUGUUUGGGAUGGAGUCUUAAAUUGCAUGAGCCUUUGCACUUGUGGUGGUAGAAAAGGCGCACGCCUCCUCCCCCUUAUGGCGGUGGUGGAUCAGCACGAAUAUGAGGGGUGGGGAUCAGAGCAGGGCGGUUGGCACCGGACUCGUCCUUGGCGGUCUGUCGGGAAGUACGGUGUGAAGUAGAGAGGGCACAAUGGCGAUGAUGAGGUGUGAGUCAUCUGGUUUUAAAGGAGUGGGCUUCAGCAAGAAAUGUCCCUCAACGACGGGAAGCUGAGCGGGAAGGGGAGGAGGCGACAGGAAGAGGAAAGGGUGUGUCGUGCGGUGGGGCUUUGUGUUGGGCCCGUGUGUUGGAGAUAACAUAUAGGAUAGUCCACACAGCCACAUUUCUCCCCACACAUAUGGUCUGGAUUUGGUGGAGCUCGGACUGUCUAUACAGUUGAAUUUUGGAAGCCCACUGGGCACCCGUACAUGCCCGAACGUAUGAGGAAGAAAUAAGCUUCAACCUUGGAGAUGACCUUAAUCAUUUGUUUGAUUCAUUUAUAUGUAAUGUAGCCUGUAGCAACGCACGGGCAUUCUACUAGUUUGGUUAUAAGUUGUGAGUUUGAAACUUGGUAUUAUGUUUUUAUUAGCACUUAAAUAUAGGAAACAAACCCAAAAAAAUACCAAUUUUUGACGUGAAACAUGUGAUGGUGUGAGUGUAGAAAAUGUUUCAAGGUCAAAAAAUGAACCAAGAGUACUUCACCUUCAAACCUGGCAUGUUCUGUCUCGAAAUCAUGUUUCUUCCUCGGAGAUUUUCCAGUCUCUAAGCAGGGUAUGUCACUACUUUUGAGUAAUAUUCUCAAGAUUUUACCGCAUCCUCUAGCAACCAUAUGAUGACACCAUGCCAAGUUUUAUGUUCUUUAAGCUUUGUUUGCGUUUGCUAGAAUUAGCAAACAAAUAAGCUUCAUGUUCAGGACUAGUACGGGCGCCCUGAUGUUCAUAAAUCCUCGUAUGAUCUUGGAUAAUGCUUAAAUAUAGACUCACUAACACAAGUACGAUUUUCCAACCCAAUUUUACCAAUUUGUUCAUGUACUCACAGUCCAAAUUUAAAUUAUAUUCACUAAAUGCUUGUGAAUGCACUAAAUUACUCCCUCCGCCUCAUAAUAUAAGAGUGUUUUCGACGCUACACUAAUAGCAAAAGCGCUCUUAUAUUAUGGAACGGAGGGAGUACUUAAUAUAACAAAUGAACCUCAAAAAUGCUACUCCCUCCGAUCCAUAUUUAUUGUCGCUCAAACAGAUAUAUCUAGCACUGAAAUACGUCUAGAUACAUCCGUUUGAGCAACAACUAAUAUGGAUCAAAGGGAAUACAUUCUUACAUAAAACUUGUGAUUGUGUAUGAUGAUCAUAGAAAAAGUUUCAAGGUCAAAUGAUGAAGCAGCCGACACUUCGCCUUCAAAACCGACUCGCGCUCCCUCUCGAAAACAUGAUUCUUCCUCGGAGAUGUUUUGGUUUCCAAAUGGUGUACGUCACAACUUUUGAAAAAUCCUUAUAAAGUUUUUAUCCUGUCAUAUUGAGUCAUAUGAUGACACCAUGCUGAGUUUCCUGUUUUUUUAACUUUGUUUGCACAAAUAAACCAAUAAGAUACAUUUUCUACGUCACUAAAACAUUGUCCGUAACCAUUCUUCCACGCACGGAAGCACUCUGAGCCAGACCAAUAAUGCCAGGAAGAAAGACCUUCAAAUGGGUAGUCACCAUUUUUGCAAUAAUAGUAUACACCACAUUACACAAGUUGAUUGUCCUAAAUUGGGUUACCUUUUCCACAGAAUUAACCUUGGGGAUCAUCACAAUACCAGUGUCAUUCCAUCCGAUAGGAAUAGUACACAUAUUAACCGCUUGCAAAACCACCUCCAUCAGAUCGUCCUCUAACAUGGACAAAAAUCUUUUAUAUAAAAUAGCUUGGAGUCCUUCCGACACCAGAGCUUUUAAAUCACCAAUAGAAAAAGAGCCUUACAAACAUCUUCGUCGGUGUAAGGAGCAAGGAGUGCAUUAUUCAUCUCAGCCAACACCUUUUUACGAACCAGUGAUAAAACCUUCUAAUUCAGUUGUAAUACUUCUGAAGUGAAAAGAUUGGAAAAAUAGUAUGUGAUGUGAUCCUUCAGUUCCAUACCUUGCCGUCAGACCCACAAAUCAUCAAGGAGUUUCUUAAUAUUAUUUCUCUUCUUCCUAGCCUUAGCCGCAUUACGAAGAAAAGGUGUAUUACUAUUCCAAUGCAUCAACCAAUUUUCUCGACCUCUCUAUAUCCAAAAAAAUGUGUCUUCCUGAUCUAAAAGAUUUUCAAUGAGAACAAGAAUUUUAUUUUGCCGAGCACUUAUAAGACCACACCGCAGUCUCUCUAAUUAUUAUUUUAAUUUGUUGAUUCUCUGUCUAGUCCCGUUUUAGUGUAUCGCGAUCCAAAAUAUGCAAAUCCAACAUGCACCUAUAUUUAUACUUAAUAGUAAAGGACAAAGUGUUUCUCUGAUUCUUUUUUUUCGUGUGCAGUUAGAAUUACCCCUGCAGUUGGAGACAAAUACAUGACUCGACUCGCACUCGCACUCGCACGGUUACCCACACACAUGAAACAACCUGCGCAGGAACCCUCCCAUCGCAACUAAUAGCCGACCCAAGUAGGUUCUUGCACAGGUUGUUUCUCUCAUUAAUUUUUUCAUUUAUUUGUUUUUAUUUUGUUCAUAUUUUUGAAAAUAUUCAAAGUACGUAUAUUUUGGAGCAUAAAUUUAUUUUAAAAUAAAAUUUUCAAAUUUUAAAAAUAUUAACACAAUACGAAAGCAUUGUUAGCAUAAUUUAAAAAAAUGUUGAUAACAUUAAAAGGAAUGUUUGUGGCAUUCUAAAAAAUGUUCGCAUGUUUCGUGACAUUAAAAAAAUAUGUAUACAAUGUAAACUAGUAGAAUGCCCGUGCGUUGCUACGGGCAAAAGCCGAAUGUCCGUGCGUUGCCACGUAAUAAUAAAAAUAUAGAAACAUUGAUCAAAUUAUUCUUUUAAUUCAGAAAUAUGUGUUAAGCAAGGUGGCAUCUGAUUUCCAUCAUACAACGACAAAUAAAGACUCUCUUCCAAUUGUUUCCUUCUCGGUAGUCUUUGUGUCCCCUUAACAAACCAAAUCAUUCGCUAACUGGAUAUAUGUCAUCCACGAUUAAGUAGUAUUAGUAUCACUCAACUUGACAUAUCCAUGGGUGUUACUAUUAUAAGGUACACAAAGCUUGAAAUUCCUUAGACUUAUAGUGCGCCUCUUAAUUUCAGAUCCAAUUUUGUGAGAUUGUUCUUUAUCAACAGAUGUUCCAUUCUCCAUAGAAAUAAUCAACCUAAAAUUAACACUGCAACUGUUUUAAGUUCGUGUCAAAUAUUAGGCCCAAGCUGUUAACAACGGCCAUUUUUCAACCAACAAGACAUUUCCCUGGGUAAGUAUAUAGUGCACCAGGGCUUGUACCGCACCUGGAUUCGUCUUGUACAUACAAAUGUUUUAGAAAAAACUAAGAAAAAGUCUACAAAUGGGCACAACAUGAACCGAUAAUAUCACAAAACUCAAGUACCCUUUGAAUCUCAACUAAUGUCAAGGUCCAAAAACAAAAGUAGUAUUGACAGUGGUAAUGGGCAAAAAUUUAAAGCCCAACAAAUGUUGUGUUCUAUCAUAGUCGAAUUCGACUUUUUCUCCCGAAGUGUAUUAUGAAUUAGACUUUAAAUUUGUGAAAUGGAUGUUCCAUCUUGUAGGUUGAAUUUAUGUUGGAACUAUUUUAUUUCAAAAUUUAAUUGGAUUAUAAUAUUUAUAGUUGUGUACUGUCGCAUUCGAAUAUUUUCAUUCAUGAAGAUUUAAUAUGCUAUUAUUUUGAUCCUUGUCCCCUCCCCAUCGCUGAUGUCGCCGCCCAGCCAUCCGCCCCUAUCCCGGAUUCCCGACCUCCCACUCCUCAUCGUCGUCCAGAUCACCACACUGCUCCAGCACGGUCCCAAGCGUCCUCCACCGCAGUCGCAGCUCCAGGGCCUCCGAGGCCGCCCUUCACCUAUUCACUGAUGACGUGGAGGUCGCGGGCUCCAUCGAGAACCCUAGCCGCACGCGAUGGCGGCGGCCGACCGGCUUCGCUUCGCGGCUGGGGAGGAGGGGAGAGGGGCAGAGGUUUGUAGGUUUCGGUCACGCUAGUUUUUCUUGCCUGUAUUGUUUUUUUUUGCGCGCGGAAUCUUGGGGAAUCGUGGGGCAGCCUGGGUUCGAUCGAGGUUUGGGGGUACGAAGGGACGUUAUGACCUACCAACUGCUUUAGGAGUAGAGAUUAGGAAAGGUAAGAAUCAAUGUGUUAGGAAAGUUAGGAUUUUAAAUUGAUUUCCAUGAAAAUGGGGUUUAUUGCUUGGAACGUGAUAUCAUUACCUGCCCGUUUGUGAUGUAUCUUGUUAGGAAAGUUUGCAAAUGUUAAGAAAAAAUUUAUUGGGAGGGUGAAAAAAUCACCAUAUGGAUAUGAUGAUGAAAGGUGAGACGAAAUUAAACCAGACGAAAAUAAACCUGGAGGCAAUCCUACCAACUGCUUCAUUAGGAGUAGAGAUGAAGCAUGAACUAUAUUGCCUUCAUUGGCAUGCAUGCUAUUGGUUCCAUAUUAUUUGUGAAUGUGAUGUGUGCCUUACCACCUAUCUGUAGGUACGCUCCUAUCCUGUGUGUGUGUGUUUUUUAUGUCUGAAUUGACCUGCAAUGAGGCCAUAAAUAUCAAGAUAAUAUUGAACUGACAUGGUAGCGAAAAGGGUAUGCAGCAGGAACCCGCAGAAGUAGCUAAAAUCAAGAUUCGGAGAAAUUUUCAUUGAAGUGGUAGCCCUACAAAGAGAAGUAACUUAUCAACUAAUACAUGGCAGAACGUACAUCGUGCCUAAAAUCAACAAAGCAAGCUCCUUUUCUUUCACCAAAACGAGGGCCAUACAGCCGCAAUAUCACAAACGAGAGGAAAGGAGCUAAAAAAAUUAAUCUACACAAAAGCACAGUAAGGAUCCCUCCCGGCACACACCCUCAAAUCAGCGCAAUCCCGAUCAAGAUGGAGACGGAUUAGCGAGACCGAGUAGCAUGUGUACUGUGGUGCUGGGGCUGCAGCCACGACAUCAUGGAGGCCGGUUCGGUAGAGGACGAUGCAUAGUGAUGCUUCCCCGCCACCCUCCGCUUCUUCUUCGCGGACAGUAUCGCCCUUGCACUCCUCUGCAUCGGAGGCUCCGUCCACCACUGGAGGACUGAGUGGCCCUGCAAUUCUCAGAAUCACUUCCAUAUGGAAUAUCAUUUGUCUCGUAAGAAAGCAAGAGCUUAAAAUUUCCCCAGGUAUUUAUAUUCUCAACAACCUCAAAACCACUUACUCUAUUGUGAGACACGCUUGACGAUACAACACUUUUCUCAUCUUUAUGUCCAUUUAUGGAAUUCCCAGAUGAUUAAAUUGUCGCUCCGGUUGCUAGAUUUAACUGGUCUACUAUGUGAACAUCGACAAAAUAUGCCCCCUUUCUUUGAACCGUGAGAAGGUAAUCACACAUCAAACAACAAUACAUCGUAAGGUGGGGUGGAAUUGAAUUUAAGUAAACCCAGUUGUACGAUAUGCCAACACAUCCCUAUUGUUUUUUACGAGAAUGUGAGGCUUCAGUGGACACUUACCUUAAUUGAGUUCCCGAAAAGUUUGUAAUUAUCUGACGCAACCAUGAAGGAUCGCCCAAUAGGAUUCAGGGAACUCCUUCAGAUACAUAUACAAAGAAAUUAGGACACCAACCAAUGACUUAACUAAGCAAUUAGGAGUACACAGAAACUCCUAGAAAACGCCCCGGUCAGCGAGUCAAAAAUUAACCUCGGAAGUGAGGUUGGAGGGAGGAAGUGGGUCAAUAGGUGAAGACACAAUCCCAGAUAUGGUCCUACUCGGAUAAAAUAUCAAUCCUCAACAUGUACUAAGUAAUCAUGCAUGCACUUAUACUUGGACGGCCAGGACACAUAUCUGCGAGAUCCUAGAUGAAGAACAAAUUUCGAAAAAAAUAACGCAACCUAAGAUUUCCCGUGCGUAAAACAUGUCAUGGAAGCGAAAGCGGGCUACCGUAACAAAAAAAUCUUAACUGGACCAUAGUAAUUAGCAAUUGACACCCAAUUUCAGAUUACAAGAACACCAUGCGACCAAUGAUGAAUCAUGCCAAAUUGGUUUGAAGAAUAUGGACUGGGCUGAACUUGAUGGAACAGGGACACGACUUUACCUUGCGGUGGCCCUCAUUGGGAGCGGUGGCCCUCCUCAACUGCAAGUUACCGCAAAAAAUAAUUACAUGUCAGCAAUGCAUUUUGUUCCCCGAAUCAGCAGGUGGAUUUUGCUUCCGUUUUUUUAAUUUACAAACGUUGCUACAUGUGUAAGUACAAUCCUAAGCUUGAAUUUAUUUCAUCAGUUUGGCAGGAAACACCCAAAAGGAAUUUUUACUGAAUCGUGUGAACACAAGAUGGGGAAAUGAAGGGACCACAAAGUAUUGGUUCUACCAGUAGCUAGUGCACCUUAAUAAUUCAGUAUCAGUGAGGUUUAUGGUAUGGUACUAAACAAAGACUUCUAGAUUGUUUCUAUUUUCCCUAGUGCAUAAUUAAAUCUAAGAGGAUAUUCCCUACUCACAACGAUCACUAUUAGGGUCACAUUGCCACAUUAAUGCUUUUGAGUCUGCAAAUAAUAAUACGAAAUUAGUAUUUCACACAGAGAGGAGAGAAUAAGAUAGGAACAUAUCUUGUACUUUCUUUUACCGGAAGAACAUCUCUAGUAUUGCCACAGAAGAGGAUAAAAAUAGUUAACAUUUAGUUUAAACAUUACAAGCUGUUCCUGAGACUUGUAAAUUGCUAUAACUUGCACAUGGAAACCAUCCGAAAAUUCAAUCAAUCUUUGUUGGAUUUACUUAUGAGAUACGUACAUUCACAUGAUUCUGCAUAUGUAGAGAGAGAAAAAAAAUUCCAAGCUUCCUUUCCUGUCCAAAUAAAUGCGCAAGCAAAUAACCAAGUGAAAGUUCAGGUAACAGUUAUACACAAAACAUAAAGUGGAGUAUAUGAAGAAAAUAUUCAAUCUGAAAAGACAACAAAUAAAUGAGAGCAAUAAGAUAUUAUUGUUAAAAUUAGAUGCAAACCUUAUAUAUUGAAAUCAGUCUGAACAAGAAACGUGUCAUACAUAUUGAAACACAAAUAGUGUUCAAUUUGUAACUUACUGGAGAAUAUGUCCUUCAAUCAUAUGCAUCAAGGCAUGUAGCCAUCCAGUAAAUGGUUGAAUUAUAAGCAUAAACUUGUAUGUGGUACCACUUGCAAGGAUCUGCUCUACCAAUUCGUCCAUAAUGAAUUCACUAAUGCCGGGUGCAUGUAUAAUCUGAAUGGCUUUGUUUCUGGAAAAUUAAUCCUUACUCAUAAUUUGAACACCAUUGGCACAACCAACGAAAGAGUGGGUCACGAUUUCUUCAGUGAUUUGUCCCUCCUUUUGAUACCGUGUAGCCACACAAAAAACAACAUGAGACAAAACCUAAUCAACUAUUAGAUCUGGUCAUCUGGAGAGUAAAAGCCACCGCUUUAGAUCAGAUUUUGACGAAGAAAAUUCGCUCGGCUUGCCACUCGUGUCAAGUGCUACUUACCAACGACGGGUAAACAAAAAAAUGAUUGGUAACACUUGCACAAAAGGAGAAAUUAGAAUAGAAAACAGGCAAACAAACUUGAGAAAGUACACCCAGGCAAAUAAGUAUUUAGCUUUUCUGAAAAACAUGACACAUCAGUAUAACUUGUUCGAAGGUAACCAUAUUAGUGGCUAAUGUAUAGUUAUUUGCUCCAGAUUUGAGGGAAAGGCUCCAUGACGAUGAGAAAUUAUAACAUAAUAUGAUUGGUCACGGACAACAUCUAAAAUAAUUGAUACUGUAAGAUACUAAAAAGUGUGGAUGUUCUAUCAACAACCACCCAUUAAGAAAAUGGAUUUGGAGUACCGAGUACCUGGCUCUGGGAAAGAAUUUAUCGCUGGGGGGCUUCCACGUCCUCUCCAUUGUCUUUGCAGAGGUUAGUUUGAUAGGCUUUUGCAGGCACAACUGCUGAUCAAAAUCAAAAUAUAUGGGAAGGAUUGCAAAGAGACGGGGCAACACCUGUUAGAAAAUCAGCGGGGGCGCAUCCGGCUAGGGCAUAAGCAGCCGCGGCAGCUUCUCCGGAUGCAUACAUCCUCAUGGCGUGGAGGCAGUGAGCAUCCGGCUGGGGCCACGGCAGCUGUACCUCGUUGUCAUGACUCAAACACACUCGAGUUAAUUGCACAGAAGUACCACAAUUGGGGCAUCACAUGCAGAUUGGUACCACGAUUGCUAAUUUUUGCAUGUCAGUACCAUGAUUGCUCCAGGUUUUUUCAAAUAAGGCUAAAACGCGUAUUUAUACGUAUUGACGCUCGAUCCGACAGCUCGGGCCCACCCGUCAGGUGCCACGCUGGCCAAUCGGCGCGUGCCCGCGCGCUGACUAGGACGAUCCGGUGCGCUGCUGCUCUCCAACCCGGUCCGGUCGCACCAGCUCGCCCCCGCCGCACCAUUCCCCUCCCCUCCUCCUCUCCUCACUCGUUUCCUCCGUCGCCGCCGCCUGCGUCCCGACUGCCGGCCGCCGCACCGCCCCGCCGACGCCAUGGUUUUGGAGGACGAAAGCAGCGACGACCAGUCUAGCCUCCCGUACAUGCAUUCUUCCUCCACAGACGGUCUCAACGAGGUCAGUACAGUGAGUUUAGGGUUAGGGUUACAGAUUUGGGAUUUCUUGAUUUGGUUGAUUUUGGUAGGUUUUGAUUUGCCCAUUGUCUUUGUGCGAGCUUCUGCAGGUCCCUUUCAGCCUUGAAGAUCCAUAUUACAAGGGGCUUGAGCUGGAUGUGAUGUCUCCAUGUGAGAAGCACGGCAUGGCAUCUGAGAGGCUUGUUGCCUUUGAAGGAACAGACACAGGCAGGCGGUUUUUAGCAUGUGCACAGCCGGUAUGGAUUGUAGGCAUAGUAAUUUUUUUUUCUUACUUUGUCAGUGCCAUAUUGAACUCUGUUUGCUGGAGUACUCUCCUUGCUGUCAACAUUUUGGUUCAUAGUGGCAUUAGAGUAGCUUAUUUAGGUCAAGCAUGAGUAUAUUUUGCUGGAGUACAAUGGCAUAGUAAUUUUGGUUAAUAGUGGUACUAGAGUAGCUUAAAAAUGAUAACUAACCUAGUCAGUCAGCUACUCAAGUGGCUGCUCCUCUUGUUAAAUGUAGUGGUCUGAUGCUAAAUUUAGAUAUUCUUUUUGGCAACUGCAGUUAUCUUGUGUAAUUACUUGUUGUAUGAACUGUGUUGGUGUUGUUGUUGUUUUUGCAGGCAGGUAGCAAUUGUGGCUUUGUUGAAUGGGUUGAUCACCAGUGGCCCCCAACAAUGCAGAAUGCAUUGUUGAAGCUAUGGGCAAUGGUUGAAGAUGCCAAAACUGCUAGGGUGAAUGACAAUCUUGAAAGUUUUUUCACUAUCCACCAUCUGACAGAAGAGAAGAACAAGCUGGAUGCCAACUAUGACAAGCUAGUCCAAGAUGUGCAUGAGCUGAUGAACUUCCAGGAAGAUAAGGUGGUGGAUUUCAGACAUCUGCAGUCUGCCAUUACAUAUCAGCAGGAGGUAAGAAAAGAACUGAUUGAUGAUAUGAAGGCACAGAUGGCAAGUGAGAUGGCAAAGAAAGAUGAAGAGACCCAGAAACUUACUCUGAAGUAUGAGCUGCUGCUCAACCUGACAAGAGCUCAAGCAAUAGUCAUUCAAAACUUGAAGUUGAACAAAAUGAAAGAGAAGCAAGUGCUUACUGAAGCUAGUAUGAAUUUGGAGCUGAAGAAUGCAGAGCUAACAAAAUGUCAGGAGAAGCUCACCCAAGAGAAGCUAGAGUUGAAGCUUCAGGUUGCUGAUCUGCUUAAGGGAAAUGAAAAGCAUAUUGAAGAGAAGUGGCAGUUAGAGUUUCAGAAUGAAAAGUUGAAGGAGAAGUUCAGGGGGAUUCAGGCCAUCUUGGAGAAGUGAAGAAGAUGAAAAUGAGAUUAGUGGCAUUGCUGACCUUUUGGGAAUGAUGGUUGUGUAAUGACCUAGCAUCUAGGAACUAAGGUUGUGUACUGUAUGCUUGUACUAAUGGUGAACUAUGGUUGUGUAUGUAUGUAGUAGUUAUGCUAUUCAUCCUUUUGUGAGAAAAGGAUGAACUAUGCAUUUGAAGUUGAACUCCUCUAUGUAUUGUGAACAAUGGUUAUGUAUGGCUAUAAUGAGUUGAACUCCAGAAACUAAUGUGAUCAGUUUCUUAUUAUGUAUGGAUAUGCUGAUUAUGUAGAAGGAUAUGUUGAUGAUGAUACAUUAUGACAAUCUUGCAACAAACCACUCAUGUCAUACAAAAUAAAAGAGGAACAAGACUGACUAAAUCUCAUUGCAUCAGAAGAUAACUUCACUGAUCCAUUAACACUUGAUCCAUUACAACUUGGCUUAAACUAGAGCAACUAAACCAGACAGUACAUUGCAUUUAGAUUGGCUGCAACUAAACCAACUAACUAACUUAAUAUCUUGCCUGCAACUAACCCAAGCACAAAUAUAGUGAAAAGAAACAACACAUUGUGAAAUUUGGCCCUAAUCCCUACAAUCUCUGCAUUCUUCUCUCUGAGUUGAGUUUGCAGAGACAGAAACAUGGCCUCCCUUGUGCCAUCAUCUUCACUUGGAGUCAGCAUUGGAAAUUGAUCUUCCUCUCUAGCAACAGUUGCACCUUUAAGCCUCCAUACUUCAUCACGUAGAUCCCCAAUGAGCUCACUCCAGAAUGUGGGCAAUGGAUCAUCAUGCCAUUGCACAAAUCCACAGCCACCGUGCUAUUAAGAUGCAGAAACAAAUUUCCAAAAAUAUAUCAUUUCACAUACUACUGCACAGAAGAAAAAGGAAGGAAAUUAGGCAAAAAAAACAACACUCACCAUAGCAUCCACGCAGCUAUAGUACCUCCUACCAGGGUUUUGCCUGCUCCAGGAGAUCCAUCUUGGCGCCUUCCUCGGAGGUGAGCAGUGGCACAUCACUGGAGGCUCGUAUGCCAUUGGGAGCUCGCGGUAGCGCACCGGCGAGCGCGCCUCCUCCCCCCUCCUUCCUGCAGCUCGACGAAAUCCGGGAGCGGACCCGGCACUGGACGACCACGACAUCUCUCUCUCCAUCGCCGGCCCCAGUCAGCGCCUCCACGCUGAGAUUUCUCCUUCUUCUCCUUUGCUGCGCUCCAAAUGGACACUGCGUGGACGAACCCUAGUUUCGUUCCCAAAUCUGAGAUCUUGUGCUGUCACUUUAAUAGUAGGAGAGGUACCUGUCCCACAUGUCAGAAUCCCCAAAUGUGGUACUGCAUGUUAUGUGAUGCCCCAAUAUUGGUACUGACAUGCAACAACUAGCAGCAGUAUUGGUACUGAUUUGAAACAAGUAACUGAAAAUGUGUUACUGCUUUGCAAAUACUGGUACUCCACCUCAAGUUCAACAUUACAAUAACCACCUCAAGUUCCACAUUCAGAUAACCACCUCAAGUUCAACAUUACAAUAACCACCUCAAGUUCCACAUUCAGAUAACCACCUCAAGUGGCAACAACACAUCAACAUGAGCAUCAAGUUCAACCAAAAUAACACCACAUCAUUUCAAAUUACAUGGCUCCUCUUCCUCUGCUAGCAGUGAAGUAGGACAUCCAUCCAGUGUGUGUACCAUCAGUAGGAAUGUCAGCAUAUUGCCUGGGGGCACUGAAUGGCCUUGGAGCACCUCUUCCAGCUCCUCUUCCUCUGCCAGCUCCUCUUCCAGAUGGUGGUGGUGUAGUAGAAGUAGCAGCUCCUCUUCCUCUUCCAGAUGGUGGUGGUGUAGUAGAAGUAGCAGCUCCUCUUCCUCUGGCAGCUCCUCUGGCAGCAGCUCUUGGCUGUCUUGCUGUUGUUGUAGUAGAAGGACCAGCAGUUGUUGGCUGUGAGUUACUUGGAGUAGCCUUACAAAGAAAAGGAAAAUAGUUAAUAAUGCUAGAAAGAAAUGUACAAGAAAUAAAGGAAAGAUUUGUAUAUUUCAAGGUGAAAAAUUAUUACCACAUGCUUAUUCUUCCUCAAAGCUAGCUCAGGCUUCAACUGUUUAAGACAGUUUGUGUACCUAUGCCCUUGGAGACCACAAUUGCCACAUGUUAUGGUCCCCAUUCUUGAAGUGUCUUUUGGAUUUGGUACUUCAAAUUUGCCCUUGAUCCUCUUUUCUUUCUUUCUUCCUCUCUUGAUUUUGAAUGCAGGUGGUUCUAUGUCUGGACCAGGGGUCCUUGUCCAAUCAUGCUCACCAGGCACAGGAAAGAUCAUUGGUUCAUAAGCUGCAGCAUAAAAAUCUUUCUUGAAGAAUUUGCUGACAUAAUCCUCUGGUUUCCUUUUAGCCUUGUUUAUUGCAGAGAUGGCAUGGUUGCAAGGUAUGCCACUAAGGUCCCACUUCCUGCAUCCACAAGUCUCAAGUUCCAGGUUGACAGCAUGUGUUUGCUGCCCACUUGUAACUUGCGAUAAGUUGACCCCUGCCUGUAUUGGCUUGCAAUAUCUGGCCCUCUCCUUCUCAACCUCUAGCUUCUCACUGUAAUGAGGUGUUAUAUCCCAUCUUGCUGCCUUUACACUCUCUCUGUUCCUAUGCCACCUCACCAUCUGCUUAUCUUUUAUCCCAUCACACAUUGUCCUUAUAGGUUUUCUCCUAACAUCUAGAAUGUACUUGUUGAACACCUCAGACAAGUUGUUCACUACCAAGUCAGUCUUGCAGUUUGUGUCAAAUGCAUGCCUUGCCCAUGUUUUUUUUGGUAUUGCAGUAAGCCACUCCCAAGCUUCCUCACUUUCAGCUCUAAGAUCAUUCAUUGCAAUAUUAAAUUUGUGUUCAUUGUAGGCAUAGCUAGCAUUAUCCAUGCACUUCUUAAGAUCUUCACCCCUAAACCCAGCAUUCUGGAAAUUUGCAUAUAAAUGCCUAAGGCAGAAUCUUUGGUUGCAAUUUGGAAAGACAGCAUUCACUGCAUUCAAUAACCCCUGACACAAACAAUUUAACAAGUCUAAGCUACAAGGUAAAUAAAUAUGCACCAAUGAAACUCUUAGCUACUGUUAACACUUGUGCAAAACAAAAUGAAAUGUGCAAACACAUACCUUUUGUCUAUCUGACAUUAUAGUAUAAGGUCCAAACUUGCCCACUUCUCCACCUAGGCAAAUUUUCAGUUGGUGUAGAAACCAGCACCAACUAGGUGUGUCCUCUUGUCCAACUAUGCCAAAUGCCAGUGGAUAUAUGUUGUUGUUGCCAUCUCUACCAGUGGCAACAAGGAGUUGAGCUCCUGUAGUGAGCUUAAUGAAGCAUCCAUCAACACCUGCAUAAUCAACAUUUCCAAACAUUAAAUACAUUCAAGUGAUAUACAAUAUGGAGUACUCUACAAUAUGUAAAUGGUGCACAAGGUUCAGGAACUAACCAAUGAAUGGCCUACACCCAUUGAGAAACCCCUCCCUUGCUCCAUUCAGGCAAAAGAACAUGGCAUGGAAUCUUGGGCCUGGGUGGGGUAUUUUUGCAUUUGGUACUGGAGUAACAGUAGUGACUAUUACUCUACUCCCAGGGUUUGUGUCCAUGACAGUUUGAGCAUAGUCUUUAAGCCUAGGAUAUUGCUUCUUGUGAUCUCCUAAGACAGCUUCAAUAGCUAUGUUCUUUGCCCUAUAUACCAUGCACUUGGGCACAUCUACACCAUAUUUUUCCAUGCAUGCAUCAAUUAUUGUCUGAAUACCAGUAGUUAUAUCAGAUCUGAAGAGAUGCUCAUAUUUCUGUGCUAGCCACUUAGCACUAACCCUGGUGGUCUCAGUGGUACUAGGGCAAGUGUGCUCCAGUCUCAUCUUCUUAAUUACAAAGGUUUUCUCCCCUUUUAUAACUGCUGCCACCAUAAAGAACUGGCAUUGUUUAUCUGGACACUCAACAAUUAUCCUCUGAUCUGAAUUCCUGUGAUACUUAAAAUUCCUGGCCUGAGUGAUGUGCAAAUUCAACAAAGCAUCUUUGAAUUGACGCUGAUCCCUAAAACACAACUUCAUACACAGUUGCUCAUGUGGUUGCUCCAUUCUCUCAUUGUACCACUUCCUAGCAGGCCUUUUCUUUGCCCUACUCUUCCUUUUCUUUGGUAGGACAAAAGAGGCUGGCUCAAGACCAUCAUCAUCACUCUCCCUCAACAACCCCUUCUCUUCUUCAUCUGAUGAUGGUCUGAAAUCAGGUUCAACCUCUGGUAGCUUACUACAAUGUGACCUAGUUGUCGGUCCUCUUCUAACUGGUAGCUUCUGCUUCUUCUUCACAGGUUCAACUAUAGUUUCUUCUUCUUCUUCAAAAGUCCUAUCUUCCUCUACCUCAAAUGGUUCCUCAACUUCAGUGUCACCCUCAUAAUGCAGUAUUUCUUCCUCUUCUGAUUGCUCAUCAUCUGAUUCUUCCUCUUGUACUUCUAGCUCUCUCUGUCUCUUUCCCUCUUCCACCUCUACAUCUUCAUCAUCACCCAUGUAAUGAUGGUCAUUUCCAAUUUGAGCAUCCUCAUCAGAGGCAUUAGCAUCACUGUCCUCAUAUGCCUCAAAUCCUUGAUAUCCCUCUUCUUCUUCUUCCAAAACUGCUUUCAACUUGGCUGUUGCAUUCUUGCUUUCUUGUGUGCAAACACCAGCAGGAUGAGGUGUGCUAGAGUUGCUACAUUGACUCUCAAAAAAUACUCCUUGCUGAUCAACAGCUAAGACAGGAGGCUCACUUAGAUCGAAAACAACAGGCUCUUGGUACACCACAGUGGACAACUCUGGCAUUUCACAUUGCUGCAACUCAAAAUCAGUAUCAGGGGGUGGACAAGCCCUGACUAGCAAAUCAAGCACCAAUUUGUCGUGGAUCUUCCUCUUUAUCUUCUGUAAUUCUGCAUGACUGUCUACCAAAUCCAGCCCUUUCUCUCCUAAAGAUGGAUUUUCAAUGUGAUACAAACAAUCAUAUGCAUUAAAUCCUUAGGUUUCCAUCACUGCAACCAAAUUCAGAUAAGUAAUAUCUGAACCACACAGCUUCAUCUCCAAUGGUUCUCUUGCAUCAAAAUGGAUCCUUACUUGCCAAAUGUCUUCAUCCAAACUACAGAACAAAUUAAAUUUCAUGUAUUCAUUAUAAUUACUCUUAAUUUGGAGAGCAACAGUACAGUACAGAAUAAUUUAGAGUAACCUGUAAGUCUAAUAUUUACUAUUAACUCUACUAUUACAGAUGCUAUUUCAGCACAGAACAAUGCUACUAAAGUAACCUGUAAGUCUAAUAUUUACAGUACAGAACAAUGUACUUUACUACUUCAGCACAAUAGCAAAAUCAAGGAAAAAGACAAGGUCAUAAUCCCAAAUUGUUAGUGUAAUUGAACUAAUUUGAGAGUGCAAUACACUGAGUUACUAGGUUACUGUAAUUGUCCUAUACUAGUCACUACAAUUGGACAAACCCUAAUCCCCAACUGGAUAAACAAGAAGAUGAACAAACCCUAAAAAUCCCCAAUUGGGUAAACCAGAGCAGGAGGAGGACAAGGGUACUUACAGCACGCCGCCAAGUCCAUGCGUCAACUGAUGGCUGCUGCUAGGGUUCGCCACCCACUGCUACGCCAACCGCAACCGCUGCUCCAUGCUGAGUAACAUCGACUCCUCCUCGUCGUCGGUCGAGUACGCGGAGCUGGAGUUGUCGCCGCCAUCGCCGUCGACGCCAGCCGUUCUGCUAGGAGGCCAGAACGGCAUCUCACCGCCGCCGUGGACGCCCUCGCCGCCGCCUGCCGGAGUCGCCGACGCCAUAGACUAGGGUUCGAGCGAGUGAGGAGAGGAGGUGUGGCGGGGGCGAGCUGGUGCGACCGGACCGGGUUGGAGAGCAGCAGCGCACCGGCUCGUCCUAGUCAGCGCGCGGGCACGCGCCGAUUGGCCAGCAUGGCACCUGACGGGUGGGCCCGAGCUGUCGGAUCGAGCGUCAAUACGUAUAAAUACGCGUUUUAGCCUUAUUUGAAAAUACCUGAAGCAAUCAUGGUACUGACAUGCAAAAAUUAGCAAUCGUGGUACCAAUCUGCAUGUGAUGCCCCAAUUGUGGUACUUCUGUGCAAUUAACUCAACACACUCGUCCGCUUUGGGCGGCCGUUUCCCAACGGAGUGUGCGGGUUGCCGCACCCCUGGGCCAGACGGGAAGCCCCCUUCACCAACCCCCGCAUCAACUGUUGGGGAACGUAGUAAUUUCAAAAAAAUUCCUACGCACACGCAAGAUCAUGGUGAUGCAUAGCAACGAGAGGGGAGAGUGUUGUCCACGUACCCUCAUAGACCGACAGCGGAAGCGUUAUCACAACGCGGUUGAUGUAGUCGUACGUCUUCACGAUCCGACCGAUCAAGUACCGAACGCACGGCACCUCCGAGUUCUACACACGUUCAGCUCGAUGACGUCCCUCGAACUCCGAUCCAGCCGAGUGUUGAGAGAGAGUUUCAUCAGCAUGACGGUGUGGUGACGAUGAUGAUGUUCUACCGACGCAGGGCUUCGCCUAAGCUCCGCAAUGAUAUUAUCGAGGUGUAAUUUGGUGGAGGGGGGACACCGCACACGGCUAAAAGAUCUCAAGGAUCAAUUGUUGUGUCUCUGGGGUGCCCCCUUGCCCCCGUAUAUAAAGGAGCAAGGGAGGAGGAGGCCGGCCCUAGGAGGGGGCGCACCAAGUGUGGAGUCCUACUAGGACUCCCUAGUCCUAGUAGGAUUCCACCUCCCAUAUGGAAUAGGAAAAGAGGAAGGGAAAAGAGAAGGAAGGAAGGGGGCGCCCCCCUUCCCUAGUCCAAUUCGGACCAGACCAAGGGGAGGGGUGCGGCCACCCUUGAGGCCCUUUUUCUUCUUUCCCGUAUGGCCCAAUAAGGCCCAAUACGUAUUCCCGUAACUCUCCGGUACUCCGAAAAAUACCCGAAUCACUCGGAACCUUUACGAAGUCCGAAUAUAGUCGUCCAAUAUAUCGAUCUUUACGUCUCGACCAUUUCGAGACUCCUCGUCAUGUCCCCGAUCUCAUCCGGGACUCCGAACUCCUUCGGUACAUCAACAUACAUAAACUCAUAAUAAAACUGUCAUCGUAACUUUAAGCGUGCAGACCCUACGGGUUCGAGAACUAUGUAGACAUGACCGAGACACGUCUCCGGUCAAUAACCAAUAGCGGGACCUGGAUGCCCAUAUUGGCUCCCACAUAUUCUACGAAGAUCUUUAUCGGUCAGACCGCAUAACAACAUACGUUGUUCCCUUUGUCAUCAGUAUGUUACUUGCCCGAGAUUCGAUCGUCGGUAUCUCGAUACCUAGUUCAAUCUCGUUACCGGCAAGUCUCUUUACUCGUUCCGUAACACAUCAUCCCGCAACUAACUUAUUAGUCACAAUGCUUGCAAGGCUUAUAGUGAUGUGCGUUACCGAGUGGGCCCAGAGAUACCUCUCCGACAAUCGGAGUGACAAAUCCUAAUCUCGAAAUACGCCAACCCAACAAGUACCUUUGGAGACACCUGUAGAGCACCUUUAUAAUCACCCAUUUACGUUGUGACGUUUGGUAGCACACAAAGUGUUCCUCCGGUAAACGGGAGUUGCAUAAUCUCAUAGUCAGAGGAACAUGUAUAAGUCAUGAAGAAAGCAAUAGCAACAUACUAAACGAUCGGGUGCUAAGCUAACGGAAUGGAUCAAGUCAAUCACGUCAUUCUCCUAAUGAGGUGAUCUCGUUAAUCAAAUGACAACUUAUGUCUAUGGCUAGGAAACAUAACCAUCUUUGAUUAACGAGCUAGUCAAGUAGAGGCAUACUAGUGACACUCUGUUUGUCUAUGUAUUCACACAUGUAUUAUGUUUCCGGUUAAUACAAUUCUAGCAUGAAUGAUAAAAAUUUAUCAUGAUAUAAGGAAAUAAAUAAUAACUUUAUUAUUGCCUCUAGGGCAUAUUUCCUUCAGUCUCCCACUUGCACUAGAGUCAAUAAUCUAGUUCACAUCGCCAUGUGAUUUAACAUGAAUAGUUCACAUCACCAUGUGAUUAACACCCAUGGUUCACAUCGUCAUGUGACCAUCACCCAAAGGGUUUACUAGAGUCAGUAAUCUAGUUCACAUCGCUAUGUGAUUAACACCCAAAGAGUACUAAGGUGUGAUCAUGUUUUGCUUGUGAGAUAAUUUUAGUCAACGGGUCUGUCACAUUCAGAUCCGUAAGUAUUUUGCAAAUUUCUAUUCUACAAUGCUCUGCAUGGAGCUACUCUAGCUAAUUGCUCCCACUUCCAAUAUGUAUCUAGACCGAUACUUAGAGUCAUCUAGAUUAGUGUCAAAACUUGCAUCGACGUAACCUUUUACGACGAGCCUUUUGUCACUUCCAUAAUCGAGAAACAUAUCCUUAUUCCAGUAAGGAUAAUUUUGACCGUUGUCCAGUGAUCUACUCCUAGAUCACUAUUGUACUCCCUUGCCAAAAUCAGUGUAGGGUAUACAAUAGAUCUGGUACACAGCAUGGCAUACUUUAUAGAACCUAUGGCCAAGGCAUAGGGAAUGACUUUCAUUCUCUUUCUAUCUUUUGCCGUGGUCGGGCUUUGAGUCUUUACUCAAUUUCACACCUUGUAACACAGGCAAGAACUCUUUUCUUUGACUGUUCUAUUUUGAACUACUUCAAAAUCUUGUUAAGGUAUGUACUCAUUGAAAAACUUAUCAAGCGUCUUCAUCUAUCUCUAUAGAUAUUGAUGCUCAAUAUGUAAGCAGCUUCACCGAGGUCUAUCUUUGAAAAACUCCUUUCAAACACUCCUUUAUGCUUUGCAGAAUAAUUCUACAUUAUUUCCGAUCAACAAUAUUUCAUUCACAUAUACUUAUCAGAAAUGUUGUAGUGCUCCCACUCACUUUCUUGUAAAUACAGGCUUCACCGCAAGUCUGUAUACAACUAUAUGCUUUGAUCAACUUAUCAAAGCGUAUAUUCCAACUCCGAGAUGCUUGCACCAGUCCAUUGAUGGAUCGUUGGAGCUUGCAUAUUUUGUUAGCACCUUUAGGAUUGACAAAACCUUCUGGUUGUAUCAUAUACAACUCUUCUUUAAUAAAUCCAUCAAGGAAUGCAGUUUUGUUUAUCCCUUUGCCAGAUUUCAUAAAAUGCAGCAAUUGCUAACAUGAUUCGGACAGACUUAAGCAUAGAUACGAGUGAGAAACUCUCAUCGUAGUCAACAUCUUGAACUUGUCGAAAACCUUUUUGCGACAAUUCUAGCUUUGUAGAUAGUGAUACUACUAUCAGCGUCCGUCUUCCUCUUGACAAUCCAUUUAUUCUCAAUUGCUUGCCGAUCAUCGGGCAAGUCAACCAAAGUCCACAGUUUGUUCUCAUACAUGGAUCUCAUCUCAGAUUUCAUGGCCUCAAGCCAUUUUGCGGAAUCUGGGCUCACCAUCGCUUCUUCAUAGUUUGUAGGUUCGUCAUGGUCUAGUAACAUAACCUCCAGAACAGGAUUACCGUACCACUCUGGUGCGGAUCUUACUCUGGUUUACCUACGAGGUUUGGUAGUAACUUGAUCUGAAGUUACAUGAUCAUCAUCAUUAACUUCCUCACUAAUUGGUGUAGAAGUCACAGGAACAGAUUUCUGUGAUCCAAUAAGGGAGCAGGUACAGUUACCUCAUCAAGUUCUACUUUCCUCCCACUCACAUCUUUCGAGAGAAACUCCUUCUCUAGAAAGGAUCCAUACUUAGCAACGAAUGUCUUGCCUUCGGAUCUGUGAUAGAAGGUGUACCCAACUGUCUCCUUUGGGUAUCCUAUGAAGACACAUUUCUCCGAUUUGGGUUUGAGCUUAUCAGGAUGAAAUUUUUUCACAUAAGCAUCGCAACCCCAAAAUUUUAAGAAACGACAACUUUGGUUUCUUGCCAAACCACAGUUCAUAAGGCGUCGUCUCAACGGGUUUUGAUGGUGCCCUAUUUAACGUGAAUGUAGCUGUCUCUAAUGCAUAACCCAAAACGAUAGUGGUAAAUUGGUAAGAGACAUCAUAGAUUGCACUAUAUCCAAUAAAGUACGGUUAUGACGUUCGGACACACCAUUACACUGUGGUGUUCCAGGUGGCGUGAGUAGUGAAACUAUUUCACAUUGUUUUAACUGAAGGCCAAACUCGUAACUCAAAUAUUUUACCUCUGCGAUCAUAUCGUAGAAACUUUUAUUUUCUUGUUACGAUGAUUCUCCACUUCACUCUGAAAUUCUUUGAACUUUUCAAAUGUUUCAGACUUUGUGUUUCAUCAAGUAGAUAUACCCAUAUCUGCUCAAAUCAUCUGUGAAGGUCAGAAAAUAAUGAUACCUGCUACGAGCCUCAAUAUUCAUCGGACCACAUACAUCUGUAUGUAUGAUUUCCAACAAAUCUGUUGCUCUCUCCAUAGUUUCGGAGAACGGCGUUUUAGUCAUCUUGCCCAUGAGGCACGGUUCGCAAGCAUCAAGUGAUUCAUAAUCAAGUGAUUCCAAAAUCCCAUCAGUAUGGAGUUUCUUCAUGCGCUUUACACCAAUAUGACCUAAACGGCAAUACCACAAAUAAGUUGCACUAUCAUUAUUAACUUUGCAUCUUUUGGCUUCAAUAUUAUGAAUAUGUGUAUCACUACGAUCGAGAUCCAACAAACCAUUUUCGUUGGUGUGUAUGACCAUAAAGGUUUUAUUCAUGUAAACAGAACAACAAUUGUUCUCUAACUUAAAUGAAUAACCGUAUUGCAAUAAACAUGAUCAGAUCAUAUUCAUGCUCAACGCAAACACCAAAUAACACUUAUUUAGUUUCAACACUAAUCCCGAAAGUACAGGGAGUGUGCGAUGAUGAUCAUAUCAAUCUUGGAACUACUUCCAACACACAUCGUCACCUCGCCUUUUACUAGUCUCUGUUUAUUCUGCAACUCCCGUUUUCGAGUUACUACUCUUUAGCAACUGAACCAGUAUCAAUUACCGAGGGGUUGCUAUAAACACUAGUAAAGUACACAUCAAUAAUCUGUAUAUCAAAUAUACCUUUGUUCACUUUUACUAGUCUCUGUUUAUUCUGCAACUCCCGUUUCGAGUUACUACUCUUAGCAACUGAACCAGUAUCAAUUACCGAGGGAUUGCUAUAAACACUAGUAAAGUACACAUCAAUAAUCUGUAUAUCAAAUAUACCUUUCUUCACUUUGCCAUCCUUCUUAUCCACCAAAUAGUUGGGGUAGUUCCGCUUCCAGUGACCAGUCCCUUUGCAGUAGAAGCACUUAGUCUCAGGCUUAGGACCAGACUUAGGCUUCUUCACUUGAGCAGCAACUUGCUUGCCGUUCUUUUUGAAGUUCCCCUUUUUCCCUUUGCCCUUUUCUUGAAACUAGCGGUCUCGUCAACCAUCAACACUUGAAGUGGUCUCGUCAACCAUCAACACUUGAUGUUUUUCUUGAUUUCUACCUUCGUCGAUUUCAGCAUCACGAAGAGCUCGGGAAUUACUUUCGUCAUCCCUUGCAUACCAUAGUUCAUCACGAAGUUCUACUAACUUGGUGAUGGUGACUAGAGAAUUCUGUCAAUCACUAUUUUAUCUGGAAGAUAAACUCCCACUUGAUUCAAGCGAUUGUAGUACCCAGACAAUCUGAGCACAUGCUCACUAGUUGAGCGAUUCUCCUCCAUCUUUUUGCUAUAGAACUUGUUGGAGAUUUCAUAUCUCUCAACUCGGGUAUUUGCUUGAAAUAUUAACUUCAACUCCUGGAACAUCUCAUAUGGUCCAUGACGUUCAAAACGUCUUUGAAGUCCCGAUUCUAAGCCGUUAAGCAUGGUGCACUAAACUAUCAAGUAGUCAUCAUAUUGAGCUAGCCAAACGUUCAUAACGUCAGCAUCUGCUCCUGCAAUAGGUCUGUCACCUAGCGGUGCAUCAAGGACAUAAUUUUCCUGUGCAGCAAUGAGGAUAAUCCUCAGAUCACGGAUCCAAUCCGCAUCUUUGCUACUAACAUCUUUCAACAUAAUUUUUCUCUAGGAACAAAAAAUAAACACAGGGAAGCAACAACGCGAGCUAUUGAUCUACAACAUAAUUUGCAAAAUACUAUCAGGACUAAGUUCAUGAUAAAUUUAAGUUCAAUUAAUCAUAUUACUUAAGAACUCCCACUUAGAUAGACAUCUCUCUAAUCAUCUAAGUGAUUACGUGAUCCAAAGCAACUAAACCAUGUCCGAUUAACACGUGAGAUGGAGUAGUUUCAAUGGUGAACAUCACUAUGUUGAUCAUAUCUACUAUAUGAUUCACGCUCGACCUUUCGGUCUCUGUGUUCCAAGGCCAUAUCUGUUUAUGCUAGGCUCGUCAAGUUUAACCUGAGUAUUCCGCGUGUGCAACUGUUUUGCACCCGUUGUAUUUGAACAUAGAGCCUAUCACACCCGAUUAACACGUGGUGGCUCAGCACGAAGAACUUUUGCAACGGUGCAUACUCAGGGAGAACACUUUUAUCUUGAAAUUUUAGUGAGAGAUCAUCUUAUAAUGCUACCGUCAAUCAAAGCAAGAUAAGAUGCAUAAAGGAUUAACAUCACAUGCAAUCAAUAUAAGUGAUAUGAUAUGGCCAUCAUCAUCUUGUGCUUGUGAUCUCCAUCUCCGAAGCACCGUGCUUGUGAUCUCCAUCUCCGAAGCACCGUCAUGAUCACCAUCGUCACCGGCGCGACACCUUGAUCUCCAUCGUAGCAUCGUUGUCGUCUCGCCAACUUAUUGCUUUUACGACUAUCACUACCGCUUAGUGAUAAAGUAAAACUAUUACAUGGCGAUUGCAUCUCAUACAAUAAAGCGACAAUCAUAUGGCUCCUGCCAGUUGCCGAUAACUCGGUUACAAAACAUGAUCAUCUCAUACAACACAUUAUAUCACAUCAUGUCUUGACCAUAUCACAUGACAACAUGCCCUGCAAAAACAAGUUAGACGUCCUCUACUUUGUUGUUGCAAGUUUUACGUGGCUGCUACGGGCUUAGCAAGAACCGUUCUUACCUACGCAUCAAAACCACAACGAUAGUUUGUCAAGUUGGUGCUGUUUUAACCUUCGCAAGGACCGGGCGUAGCCACACUCGGUUCAACUAAAGUGAGAGAGACAGACACCCACCAGUCACCUUUAAGCAACGAGUGCUCCGAACGGUGAAACCAGUCUCGCGUAAGCGUACGCGUAAUGUCGGUCCGGGCCGCUUCAUCUCACAAUACCGCUGAACCAAAGUAUGACAUGCUGGUAAGCAGUAUGACUUAUAUCGCCCACAAAUCACUUGUGUUCUACUCGUGCAUAGCAUCAGCGCAUAAAACCAGGCUCGGAUACCACUGUUGGGGAACGUAGUAAUUUCAAAAAAAUUCCUACGCACACGCAAGAUCAUGGUGAUGCAUAGCAACGAGAGGGGAGAGUGUUGUCCACGUACCCUCGUAGACCGACAGCGGAAGCGUUAUCACAACGCGGUUGAUGUAGUCGUACGUCUUCACGAUCCGACCGAUCAAGUACCGAACGCACGGCACCUCCGAGUUCUACACACGUUCAGCUCGAUGACGUCCCUCGAACUCCGAUCCAGCCGAGUGUUGAGGGAGAGUUUCGUCAGCACGACGCCGUGGUGACGAUGAUGAUGUUCUACCGACGCAGGGCUUCGCCUAAGCUCCGCAAUGAUAUUAUCGAGGUGUAAUUUGGUGGAGGGGUGCACCGCACACGGCUAAAAGAUCUCAAGGAUCAAUUGUUGUGUCUCUGGGGUGCCCCCUUGCCCCCGUAUAUAAAGGAGCAAGGGAGGAGGAGGCCGGCCCUAGGAGGGGGCGCACCAAGUGUGGAGUCCUACUAGGACUCCCUAGUCCUAGUAGGAUUCCACCUCCCAUAUGGAAUAGGAAAAGAGGAAGGGAAAAAGAGAAGGAAGGAAGGGGGCGCCCCCCUUCCCUAGUCCAAUUCGGACCAGACCAAGGGGAGGGGUGCGGCCACCCUUGAGGCCCUUUUUCUUCUUUCCCGUAUGGCCCAAUAAGGCCCAACACAUAUUCCCGUAACUCUCCGGUACUCCGAAAAAUACCCGAAUCACUCGGAACCUUUCCGAAGUCCGAAUAUAGUCGUCCAAUAUAUCGAUCUUUACAUCUCGACCAUUUCGAGACUCCUCGUCAUGUCCCCGAUCUCAUCCGGGACUCCGAACUCCUUCGGUACAUCAACAUACAUAAACUCAUAAUAAAACUGUCAUCGUAACUUUAAGCGUGCGGACCCUACGGGUUCGAGAACUAUGUAGACAUGACCGAGAAACGUCUCCGGUCAAUAACCAAUAGCGGGACCUGGAUGCCCAUAUUGGCUCCCACAUAUUCUACGAAGAUCUUUAUCGGUCAGACCGCAUAACAACAUACGUUGUUCCCUUUGUCAUCAGUAUGUUACUUGCCCGAGAUUCGAUCGUUGGUAUCUCGAUACCUAGUUCAAUCUCGUUACCGGAAAGUCUCUUUACUCGUUCCGUAACACAUCAUCCCGCAACUAACUUAUUAGUCACAAUGCUUGCAAGGCUUAUAGUGAUGUGCGUUACCGAGUGGGCCCAGAGAUACCUCUCCGACAAUCGUAGUGACAAAUCCUAAUCUCGAAAUACGCCAACCCAACAAGUACCUUUGGAGACACCUGUAGAGCACCUUUAUAAUCACCCAUUUACGUUGUGACGUUUGGUAGCACACAAAGUGUUCCUCCGGUAAACGGGAGUUGCAUAAUCUCAUAGUCAGAGGAACAUGUAUAAGUCAUGAAGAAAGCAAUAGCAACAUACUAAACGAUCGGGUGCUAAGCUAACGGAAUGGGUCAAGUCAAUCACGUCAUUCUCCUAAUGAGGUGAUCUCGUUAAUCAAAUGACAACUUAUGUCUAUGGCUAGGAAACAUAACCAUCUUUGAUUAACGAGCUAGUCAAGUAGAGGCAUACUAGUGACACUCUGUUUGUCUAUGUAUUCACACAUGUAUUAUGUUUCCGGUUAAUACAAUUCUAGCAUGAAUAAUAAACAUUUAUCAUGAUAUAAGGAAAUAAAUAAUAACUUUAUUAUUGCCUCUAGGGCAUAUUUCCUUCAUCAACACCCAGGCAACCUCGUCGGCUGCUGCGGCAUCCUGUAGGCCCCGACCUGCCCACUGGUAGGCCAACGAAGGUGUUCGUGAUGCCGAACAUGACCUGCCGCCGCGCCAGCCGAUGAACAGCAUGUGGUUGCAUCGCCGUCAAUGACCUGCAGCCCAAGGCUUCAAGCGCCGCCGCACAGAAGCCAUGUGCCAUUGCUCCUCGACAUCAUUUAUUGUUCUUCUUUAUCGAAUUGAACUCGAGGACGAGUGAAUGGGAGACGGGCACGACUUUGACGGGGAGGAAUUGUCGGGGUCAGCGGCUGCGGCGUGGAGAAACAACCCGGCGAGCUAAGGCGGCGACGUCUUGGUGUUCCUGAUCCGCGACAGUCGCAUCCUGGUGAUCCGCGACGUAUCCGAGGCACCAGCGGCGUCCUGGUGAUCCGCGACGGCUGUGGCGUCGCCAGCGUCUGAGGGCAUCUUCAAUGGUUGCAAGAUAGUUGUUGGUAGACUUUGCCACAUGGGAUUUUUGAUGAUGUGCCAUACAAUAAAUGAGGAAAAAGAGGAAGGUUGUAUGUACAUGAACCAACACCCCUUGCACAAAGCUCCAAUGUAGAAUGAGAGAACACCUUAUUUAUUAUCUCACAUCUUAUUGGGCAAACUAGAUACAACUCAUUGGAGUUGUUGUAUGUUAAGGUGUUGGUUGAUGACAUGGCAUAUUUUACCAACAAGCUAACAUACAAACUGUUGAAGAUGCCCUGACCGGUUCGGCGUUGGCUGUUGCGUCCUGUCCGGGAAAGGAGGAACAUCGGCUUGGGAUCUCGUCCUAGUGAUCCGCGACGUAUCCGAGGCGCCGGCGGUGGUGGUGGAGGUGGCGGCAUCUUGGUGAUCCGCGACUGGUGGCGGCGGUUGCGUCUCCUCGGGAGACGAGGAGGAGAAGAUUGGGAUCUCGUUCAGGAGAGAAGGAGCCCCGAUAUGUUUUUUUGUUUGAGUGUUUUUUAGAUAGAUAGAUAAAACCAGAGGUACGGGGGUGGUGGGAGGUGGGAGGAAAUAAAACCGGACGAAAAAUAAACCGGCGUACCAGGCUACCAACUGCUUCAUUAAGAGUAGAGAUUAGGAGUAGAGAUAAUUCAAUAUAAUUAAAAACAGUUGUACCAAACAAGAAAAUGUGUGUUACAUUUUCAAAAAUCUUCAUGCUUUUCAAAAAAUGCGUUCCCGACAUUUUUAAAAAACUGUCUAUCCAAUGUAAAAAAUCAUGUAGAUUAAAUUUUUCAUAUAAUUCAAAACAAUGUUUCACCUUGUAUUUUAAAAAUGUUUAACACACAUUCAACAAAAUGAUGUAAACAUGUAUUUCAAAAAUAUUAAACAUGCAUAAAAAAUCUUUGAGAUUUAUAUAGAAAAUGUAGAAUGUUUAUGGAAAAAAUUAGACAUCAAAACACAUAUUUAAAAAAGUGUUAAUCAUGUACUUGAAACUUUUUAAGUGCAUAUGAAAAAAUAGACAUCAAAACAUAUAUUUGGAAAAAAUGUUAAUCACAUAUUUGAAAAAUAUUAAAAAUUUAUAGAAAAGUUUUUUUGAUGUAUAUCAGAAAGGUACAAUAAUUACAAAAAAAGUAGACUUUUUAAAAAAGAAAAAAGGAAAAGGUAAAAAAACUUAAAAACCAAAGAAAACUGGUAAAGAAACACAAAAAAAUGAAAAUCAAAGAAAGCCAUUGAAAACCAACAGAAAAAUCCAAAGGAAAAAAGAAAAAACCGAGAGACCCGUUAAAAAAAGCACACAAAGAAAAGCGCGAUAAGAAACUAGGAGAAUCGACUAAGGAAAAAAAAACAUAAAUAAUGGCCUCGAGUCUUCCCAAAACCGGUCUACCAAGGAUCUUCCACAAACCAUGUUCUCUGAUAACGAUUGAUGCUCUCCGUCUUCAUUAAUGGAUCAGCCGGUUCACGGGAUUGCUAAAGGCGAGACAGAACUAUGUCUUGCAAUGGGCGAUAUAUAGCCUUGGCGUGCCACGUGUGCCCUGGAGACGAACUGACAGAGUUUUGACUAGUCAAGUUUUGACUACAACAAAUGCCGGUGACGAUCGAAAGCAGAAGCAUAGAAGCAUGGGUGGCAACUCCGAUGAGAAUUCUGCUCCAGCGAAACGAUGGCUAAGUGAGCUAAUCUAUAUAAUUUAUGGAUAAUUUCUGCAAUAAAGCGUUGAUUUUGCCCUGUUGUAAUUAGACUUGAUUAAAUUGCAGAAGGUGAAGAUUGUCUGUUGUUAACACUGAAAAUUCACCAAAUGUUGUGCCACUACAAAAUAAAUAUGAACAAUAUGUGAUCGGUGAUGAUAACAUUGACGAGGUUGAGGAUUGGUCUUGUGACUAGUAUUUAGCCUGAUUUUUGAUAUUAUUCUCACAUUUUAAUACAUUUAUGUUGUAUGAAACAUUUGGGCGUAAACUGCACAUGCAAUCAUCCAAAUAUGAUUCUCGGUCGACCGAAGUGGAGCAUUUUAGUUUACGGUGUGUCCAUUCUUCAACAAUACGAACAAUCGAUCGAGAGGUGUUUACCCUAGAUAAAUUGUGGUUUAGUCUUCGGAUCGGUCCUCCAACACCUAGGCUUUUUUUUUUCAAACUGUUGCCAGUUUACCCUUUUUUAUGGUUUUGGUUUGAAAUCGUCAUGUGCACCUACCUAUGCACUAGAAACCUUGUUUCUCUUUUGAUAACGAUUUGGAGCAAAUAAAAUAAAAUUUAUAAAAAAAUAUAUAUGAUAAUUUAAGGUAGUUCCAACUCGGCCAAUAUAUAUAUAACUCAUUUCAACAUAGGUUUAUUUGUAGCAAGUUCAAGACUACUACCACACCUGCAAAAAAAAGUUCGAGAUUACCGGGGAUCAACAUUUCCCUUAAAAGAAAAAAGAAACUGCAGGAAUCAACACGGCCAUGGAUACUGAAAUAGGCAAAGGACUUCAGGUCGCACCAAUCCUCUAU
Molecule: long non-coding RNA, 65907 nt
Filed under: Triticum aestivum (bread wheat)
Lineage: Eukaryota; Viridiplantae; Streptophyta; Magnoliopsida; Poales; Poaceae
Description: long non-coding RNA (TAES_LNC013010)
Source: RNAcentral